UCACAACAAUUUCCUUCAUUACUAAUAUGUUACUACUUAAAAGAGUAAAUUUCUGAUCACUCUAUUUCUGAGAUGGCUGCCAACUCUUGGUGAAGACGUCUCGCUGGCAUGCGGCCUGCGCUGGUUCUCUUAGGGACAGUGGAGCUAAAAGGAUCAGGAGGCUUUGUUAAGUUUUCUCCUUCCCCUUCAAGCAUCUGGACAACAGUUUUCAUGGAAGGACGCUCUGCUGGGUUCCACUGAAUGCACCAUAGCCCCACAAUUGCUAGUUUCUUUGCAAUUUUAGCAUCUUCUUCUCCAUCGAUAUGAAACCGCAGGUCUUCUUCUUUUCUAAGAGAUUAUAAAUCCAUUCCGGGAAGUAUAUCUGGUCGCCAUUUUCUGCUGUAUCAUCGACGUUCUUCCUUCCUCCAACCAUUUCCAACACUAACAUCCAAAGCUGUAAACAUCUGAUUUAUAGGAAACACUCCCGAAGUUUCCUCGAGAACACUUCUGGGGCAAUGUAGCCAACAGUCCCCUAGCAGUCGUCAUGGAAAUAGCACUUUUAUCCUUGGAACACAGCUUUGCCAUCCAAAACGGCGAUUUGGGAUUAAAUUCGUUGUCAGCAGGAUAUUCUUGGUUUGAUAUCAAAAUGGAGGAUUCUUUGAUCACACCCCUGGUGAAGAUAUUCAAUGCCCUUGGCUAUGCUUAGAGCAACACGAUUCAACCUUUCCCAGCCAAGGAAAUGGUUCCUUGAGUCUGCUGAGUUAUGAACUUCUGUAAUGAACCAUUUGGCAAGUACUCAAAACCAGAGCUCGUCUAAAUCCAUCAGCACAGAAACCGAUCAAAGCGAACAACAUUGACAUGGUGAUCCUUGCCAUUGUUCCACUUCAUUGAUGAAUUCCUCCCCUUUUCCUAUGGAAUUAUUGAGGAGCUUCACAGCUACAGCAAUUUCAUGGUUAGCUUUCCUUUGAACACGGUUCCAUAAGCUCCUUGCCCAAUUCAUCCCGGAAUUGAUUUGAUCCUCUUGAAUCAGCAUAGGAGUACCUAGUGGGAUUCAGUGAUCUGUAAUCAUCCAAAAACAUUUCAACCCUGGCUUGAUAUUCUCUUGUGUUUUAUCGUUGCAAUAGCGCGGUAGAGUGCAGUAAUCACUAUUGCAAAAAGGAAGAAUCCUAAAAUCACACCUGCAUAUAAACAUUCCGAGUCAGGAAACUCUUUUUUUUGGGAAGUAAUGUAUGAACCAAGUGUAAAAUUGAGAUGGAGAUUUGAGCAGACUACAAACCACAAUCAGUAGCUUUCGCCGCACAUCUGUAAGGAUUGAAACUUAUUAGCUUCUCCCUUUAGGCAAUUAGUAAAAUCAUGAAAGCAACAAAAACGGAAAGAGUUUCUUUUUAAUUUGAAAAACCCUUAUUUUUUUUAUAUUUACGUAUUCAAAUGCAAAUUAUUAAUUUGAAAAAAGGAAGAAAGAUAGAAAAGCAUACCUUUAGUGUGCGGAAGAAUGCUGUAGCAUUCAGCUUCAGAAGAUCCACAAGUUGGAUUGGACCAAGACAUAGUAAGAACAUAAUUUUCUUCAAGCAACAUACUAUAUGAAAUUCGAUAAAUGUUGUACAUCUUGGUACAAGAUAACAAAUCAGAGUAACUGAUGGGAAUUCCUGAGUCAACGGCAUAAACUUCAUGCUUAAAAGUACUCAGACAUGGGAAUUUAUCCAUGUACGAAGGAGACCUAUAGGUCUUCAUGCAAAGUCUUGAUGGUCUUGAUUAAACUUCUUCCAUGCCUCCCCGUCAGAUGGAUGCACCAUAACUCCAUCAUCGGACCUAUGAAAAUGAUGCCAUGUCAUAUCUUUGGCAUGAUGUGGAGACAUGAAUAGCCUCUGAAGUCUUGGUGUCAAGGGAAAGUAUCGGAGUUGUUUCUCUGACUUAUUAGAACCUUUACUAGUGGGAUUUCUAGGUUUGUAUCGUAAACUCCACAAAAGUCACAAUUUGUUUUCAUUGCAUCUACCCCAUAGUACAACAUACAAUAAUUAGGACACACAUCAUAAUUUAUCAUAACCAAGUCCAAGUGGCCGCAUAAAUUCUUGGCAUCAUAGAAACUUGAAACCAAAUUUCCAUUAUCAGGCAUGCAACUUUUGUAAAUUCAGUAAAUUUGUUGAAGGCAGUCUGAGUCAAAUUUAGAGUUGACUUCAUAUUAAGCAAUUGUACACAAGCAGAUAAUUUAGAUUGCUUGAUACACCCAUCCCAUAAAGACUCCUCUGCAGCUUUAAGUAAUUUAAAAAUUUACUGCCUCUGGAUUCGGAAGUUCUUCUGCUAUCAUAGAUAGAAACCUUAUCAUUAGAGUAUGUAUCACCAACCCCAUGCAUGCAGAACCAUAUCCUAUAUGAAUUUUCUUCAAAAACAUCAUUCACAACAUGACACCCAACGAUGAAGGUCCAGCAAUUAUUGGUUCUGAAACAUAAGGCUCCAUGUACAGUCCAAUUUUCAUAAUCAGGUAAAAAUCCUCUUGAAACAGGUCUUAUAAACUUCUUCCAUUAAAAAACUUUGAUUUUUGCACCUAACACAAGACAUCUAAUUUUCCUCCAGAUACAUUUUCAUCAAUUGAAAAUGCAAAAUUGAUAAAUCUUCGUACACCCAAUAAAUUCCGGACAAAUAUGACCAUCCCUACGACGGCGAUACAUCCAUGAUCGAUCGUCCAUAUUAAUCUAUUUAACAUAAUUAAAACAAAAAAAUUAGAAUAUUAAUAUAUUUCUUAAUAUAACUUUAUAUAACAAAUAUCAAAAUAACUUCAUUAAUAGCUAGCUAUAAUUUAAAAAUGAAAAACUCUUACAAUACAUCUUUUAUUGCUAAUUGUUUUUACGUUCGUAAUUGAGAUAUCAUAAGAUGUGAUUUAAUUUAACAUUAACUAAAAUAUUACUGAAUUUGAAAAAUCCAAUGUAAGCAUCACAGUAUGUGUUAAGCAUUUUUGCAUCAUGAACAAUAUACAAGGACAAUGUUUAAAAUACCGUAGCUAUAUGACGCUUCCACUUCCCCAAUAUUUUCAGCAGAGACUGUAGCAACACCAAAUUGAGUAAGGGCUCCUGCAAAGAAUGAAGAUGAAGCUCAACAUUACACCUAAAUAUGUAGAAGCAUGGUGACGCAUAGAAACAGUGCCAUAACUUAAAAAUUGUUGAAAUUGCACAAAUGAAAGAAGGCUACUGCAAAGAAAGCUCCCUCCGAGUCAAUGCAAGAACGACGAAGACAGACAAUGUAAGGAAAAGACAAUGCCUUAACUCUAUUGGAUAGACAGUGACAUGCAAGAAGUAAAUAAUUCUCGAUGUCCAGAGACAUUCUCAAGAUUCCCAGUCACAAUAAGUAAAAUAAACUAAUUAAAUCUCCACGGAGCACUAAGUCUUCCGGUUUUGUAACUAGUAAUUUAUACCACUAGUUAGUAAAUAUGCUUAUCGAUGCGAGAUCGCUCUCUCAAUCCUAACAUAUAUGCUGAGACCAUAUUGUGAAAAUGACAAAUUUGACUUUAAACAAUCCGUCACUUUUCUCGUAUAUUAGGCAUCUUGUUCAAAUUGAAGCUAAAUAAUCUUAAUUAAUUAUACUCUUUGACUAGCUAACAACUUUUUGUAAAUCCUCGAUAGGACUGUGCCCUUUAUCCUUUCUUUUCUCCCCUUACAUCCUGACAUCACAUAACAUUCGCAAGCCACCCUUUCAUCAAACCAAUUCUCAAGCUAGAGUGAGCUUAACCCUUUGAAUGUAGGAGUCUUUGUAGAGGGCUCUGCAUCAAGAAUUUCAUUAGAGAAGAUGAUUCACCCACCCUAGAACUCCCCCACUUUGUCAUUGUGUUCCUCUGAGGUCUCUCAUCAGAGCUUGAUUGCAUGUUAAUUACGAUAUCUACAUUAACAUAGCCUAAAUUAACUUAUGUCGAGCUAGCUAGGAACGUUAUGAGGAACCUUAUGGUCCUUUUACAUCUUUUGCAUGCUCUGUUUGCAACAUUUUCUCGUUACCGCAAAGAAAGCAAUAGUUUGCAACACCACAACAUUUUUCAUGCUCUUAUUGCAAUAAUCUCAACCCUCUCUCAGUAUUUUUUUUUUAUACCUUACAUUUAAUAAAUAUUAAUACUACAAUUAAUAAUUAAAAUAUUAGGAUGUGAUAAAGCUAUAUAACAACUAAUUUGCAAAAAAUCAAACAAAAUUAUUAUCUCAUCAUAAAAUUAAUUAAUAAAAAAAAAUACGUUAUCUAAAUACAAAUAAACUCUUAAAUUUAGGUUCUAAUUAUACCUGUUUGGUUGCAACUGAAACGUGGAUUCUUGGUGGAAGCAAACACCAAUCUUUGCCAAGUGGGUUCAGGAAAAGUUAAAGAUUGCAAAUGGGAGCACAACACCGAUUUUGCAAAUGGUUUAAGCACACUACAGGACAAUUAAAGAAAGCAAAAGUGGGGUAAUUGAAAAGGGUUGUUUUGGAGUUACAUGUCUGGACAAUAAUUGAAGAGAAAACAGAGGAGGGAUGGGUUUCGGCAAAAGGAAGAAAGGGACAAAUUGAUUGGGUUAGGGUUUUUUAAGUGGAGAAUGAAAGUUUUUGAUUUUGAGCUGGAGUAAUAAAUUGUCUCCUACGGGUGUUUUUGUUAUAAUAUAUAUAAAGUCAAAUUUUUUUUCUUCUCUUUAUCAGCAAGCAAUGUAAACCGUGCCAUUAUAUCAGCAACGGAUAAUCCGUUGCUGAUUUUUAAUAUAUUAAUUUAUUUUUUAGCAACCGAUUUUCUGUUGCUAAAUCCGUUACUAAUAUUAAAAAAUUAGUAUAUAUACAAUUCGUUGCUAAUCCGUUGCUAAAUUUGCAACUGAAAUAUUUCGUUGCUGAUUGCCGAUGCUACUGACCCCUUUUUUUAGUAGUGCUAUUCUCACUAGAAAGUGAACAAUUGAACAAGGUCCAACCAUAGUACAGCCAAUCGUUCAUAAUUUGGAAGUGAGAAUCCCCUAAACUGAACUUUAAACGUUGCCUUGGAAAGCAACCUUGAGGAUCCCUUGCAUAAAUAAGUCGAUGUCUAUAGUCAAUUCUUUCGAUGAGGAGACUCAAUCCAGUUGGCAGAUUAAGCACUGUGCCGUUGUCCUCUGAGCAGGAUAGAUCAAACCCAGGAUAUCCACAGUGGUCUGGUUGUUUUUCCUUGAUCCGGAAAGGAAAUCGGAUGUCAGGGCCACGGUUUCCACAUGAUCCUGUGCAAUUCAAGCUUGCUCCAUGGUCUGCAAGGAAGACAAUGAAAAAGAAGAACAAACACGGAAACAUUUCUGAUGAAUACUUCAUCAUCUCCACACUCCUCGACUUUAUCUGCAUGUUCUGAUAUAGUUUUGGCCGUUCAGAAAACUCAUGUAGUCCUUAGAUGGGUGAGUCCUUUACACUGUAGUACACGCAUCCUUGCAUCCCUCCCUUCGACAUUAAAAAAUAUAUUCAAAAAGACUGUCUGGUUCAGGUAAUUUUGGUCGGUUUUUAUGAUUAAUUUGCUCAUCCCUAAUGAUAGUAAUAGUCUCUCUAUCUACAUAAUGUGAAUUUUAAUUACAUGGUCGCACCCUUAACGCUUAAUUAACGCUUAUGCCAGAUGGGACGGGUGCGAGAUUCUCAACAAGAAAUAAUUAACGCUUAACGAUUAACGCUUUGACAAGUUCUUUAACCUUUCAAUCAGUUGGGAAGGGAGGAAAAGUCUUGCUUUGACAAGUUCUUUAACCUCUCAAUCAGUUGGGAAGGGAGGAAAGGAAAGUAAACGGCUCUCUGUUGUUGUCUUGCUACAUAGCUUUUUUUUUUCAGAUAUCAGUAUUUAAAUACUGAUUUAAGUUCUUUUUCAAACACGCUAUCAGUAUUUAAGUACUGAUUUAAGUUCCUUUUAAUUUAAGUACUGAUUUAAGUUCCUUUUCAAACACGCUAUCAGUUAUUUAAGUACAGUUGGACUUCCAAACUUGAAUAUUUUUGACAUUAGACUAGAGGUUACAAUUGAAUUGUCACUAUCUUUAUCUUGGAAUAUCUCGUGGAUUUGGUCUUUGAUGAGAUGCUCCAACAAUAAUAUCAAGCUCGCUGGAUUUCGUUGUUUGUGGUAUUGUCACUUCAGCCUUCCCCAUGUUUAGAGGAAUGAACGUCCUUUUGGCUUGCUACAUAGCUUUUCUUUUACAGCUAUUAGUCUUCCAAACUUGCCAUUCUAGCAACUUCACUGCUCAUUGUGCUCCUUCUUCAUGCGGCAAUAUCCAAAACAUAAGCUUCCCUUUCAGACUAAACACUGAUCCUCAAAGCUGCGGAAACUAUAAUUAUACUCUGAUUUGCGAGAACAAUAUUUCUACAGUAUUAUAUUUGUAUUCAGGUAAAUACUACGUGCAGGCAAUCGACUACGGUAACUUCACAAUCCGAGUGGUAGAUGCUGGUGUACAAGAUAAUUGCUGCUCCAUCCCUCGUUAUUCUUUGGCACCUGAUGACUUCCGUUACGGAGAUCGAUACACAUGGUAUACCUACAAGGAGGUGCCGCCGCCGGUAGUGAGUGAAGGUUUCGUGGAUUAUUGGGGGCACCGGUACUUACCUCCACUAUCACAGCCUAUGAUUUUCAUGAGCUUUGAAAAUACGGUGAAUUCUCCUCUUUAUGUGGACACUGUUUAAUAAACUCAAUCCAGAAGUUCCCAGAUGGUCAAGGAAGGCAACCACCAGCUGCCACCGACCAGCCGCCACUGUCCAGCCGCCAGCCACCAGCCGCAGCCGCCAGCCGCCUUCACACCUGCUGCCGCCAGCCGCCUUCACACUUGAAGGUUGAAUUUUCGUAUUUUCAAUUCGUGUAUAAAUAGAGUGCCCAGCUUAUGUUAUAUGUGUGGAGAGAAUUGAGAGGAACACUAGAAAGAGAAUAGAGAGAGAGAGAGGGCGUGUAAUUGUUAAGCUUUUAUUGUGUUAUUGUAAGCUUCGGUUUUGUGUAAUAAAACAAUGUGUUUUAUCCCCUUUGAGUGUUUCAAAGCCACCACCAGUGGUUUCUCCCGCCAACAAUUGGUAUCAGAGCCCCGUUCAUCGAAAAACAGAAGAGUUUUGGGGUAUAUCCGAAUUUUCAAAGUUGUCAAAAACAAGUUUUGAUCAUUCCACAGUGUAGAGCUCAUCAAUACGAACUCACUGCCGCAAAAAUCAGCCUCAUCGGAGUCCGAGGUAGCCCACACGCGCCAUCUGAAUAUUCUGACAGAUCGUCCACGCGCAUCCCACGCGCCCCGAGGUUGAAGACGACUGAGCCACACGCACGCCAUAUUUGAGCCGAGCCGAGCCGUAUACGCCGAGUCCUAGCCGAGCCACAAGCCGAGUCCAGCCGAGCCGUACCUCGCGCCGAGCCGAGCCGCGUUCCAGCCUCAGCCGAGCCGAAGGAAUAUUCCCCAGAAUAUUCCUCGAAUAUUCCCCAGAAUAUUCCCGGUUAAACCCAGCGAACCGCCCGCCGUACAAUUAUGCUCGAUAAUCAACUUCUUUUCACGGUUAAAAGAUUAAAAAAUUAAUUUUUAUUAUUAAUAAUUUUUUACUCUUUAAAUAGAGAAUGGCUUUAGAUUAAUUUUUUAUUUAUUCAUAAUUUGUUUAUUGAUUAAGGAUUAUUGACUUAAUCUCUAUGUGCUUUAUGGCGGGAUUUUAUUGAAGUAAUAGUUCAGAAGCUUUUUGUUAACUCAGAGUUGUCAUCUUCAAUAUAUAAGCUUUUAAAUUGCUCAGGCACUUCGAAUGAAGUUGAAAGUGCGGAGGAAACUUCAUGGAUAGAUUGCAGGUCUGAAGACAUUUACAGCUGAGAAUUGAAGCUCUAGGGGAACUACUUGCAGUCAGUGUUGAAGAAAGCGCAAGAAAGAGUGCCUAAACACUUCAAAAGACAGGAGGCUCAAGCUUAAAGGAUGCUAGAUGUUAUCUAAUUGAUUUUUACUAGAGAUUUUCAGAUUGAUUCACUUAAUGGAAGAACUUGCUUGCACUGUCCUGCUUAUUAUGGCCAUUUUGAUUACCUUCAAGCUACUCUUUCUGCUGCCAUCAAUCCAACCUGUUACUGUUUCUUGGUAACUAUAUCUUCAAUGUAAAGAUUGAUUUCGCUUUCUCUUCUCUUCUGUUUUUUAUCAGAGUAAUCUUUGCAUAGACAAUGAACUUCGGGUGAGCCAUGCAAGCCCCGCAGGUUACUGAAAAUUGUUGCGCAAGAAAUGAGAAACGCAGAGGAAAGAAAAGAAAAGUGAAUUUUUGAGAGAAGGAAGGUGUGUUCUGCUCUUUUGGAGAAUUAUAUGUAGAAACUUAGUUUAUUCUUUUUUUAUUUCUCUUCUUCUUGUAUUGCCUGUACCAGGGGAUACGAAUGUAUAUAUAUACACAUUUGCUAACUCUUAACUAACUCUCUUAACUAACUUAACUGUUAUAACUAACUCUUUAACUGUUAUAACUAACUUUGCACUACUAAUAGCUAAUCUGGAGCCUUGGCACUAAAUUGGCUGAGAGUUUGGACUGCAUAGGAUAAGUCCGGUCUUGUGAGUGUAAGAUAUAAAAGCCUCCCAAUCAGUCUACGAUAAGAUACAGGAUCAUAUAAGGAUGGACUAAUAUCAUGAGUUGUGAGUUUUAGAGUGCAUGCCAUAGAAAAACUGACUGGUUUAGCACCAGAAAAACCACUAUCUGCCAACACAUAUAAAACAUAUUUUCUUUAGCAAAGAACAAUGUUUUUAGCAUAUUUAGCUACCUCAAUGAAAAAAAUACUUCUGCUCUCCCAAAUCUUUUAUAGGAAAGGAUGUUGUGCAAAGGAACUGUUUCACAUUGUUUAUUUCUGCAAGAUUGUUGGAAGCUAUGAUUACAUCAUCAACAUAAGUUAACAUUGCUAUAAAAUUGUUGGGAGUUUGUCUAAUAAAGAGACUAGAAUCUGAUUUUGCAUGUAGGAAACCAAAAUGUAAUAGAGAGGUAGAUAGCUUGGAGAACUAUUGUCUAGAGGCUUGUUUCAGUCCAUAUAUGCUUCUUUUGAGAUUGCAUACCCGAGGAUCAUUUGGAUUUGAGAAACCUGGUGGUAAUUGCAUAUAUACUUCUUCAUUUAAGUCUCCAUGCAAGAAGGCAUUGCCAACAUCAAGUUGAUGUAAAUGCCAGUGUUUGACAGCAACAAUGGUAAGAAGAACUCUGACUAUUGUCAUCUUUGCAAUAAGAGAAUAAGUAUUAAAGAAAUCGAUGCCAACUUGUUGAGUGUAGCCCUUAGCUACCAAUCUUACCUUAUAUCUUUCAACCUUGUCAUCAGCCUAGAAUUUCACUUUGUAUACCCACUUACAAUCAAUAACAGAUUUGUUUUGAGGCAAAAUUACCAGAUCCCAAGUUUGGAUUUUCUCAAGAGCUUUAAUUUCUUUCGUCAUGGCAUUUUGCCAAUGAGAAAUAGAGCUGGCUUGUUUGUAAGUUGUUGGUUCAAACAUAGAUGAAACAACAAAAGUGAAAGCUUGAUGUUUAAAAGACAAUUUUGAAUCAGAUAAGAAGAAGAAUAUAGAGUAUGGCUUACCAAAAAAAGAGCAGUCCGAAGAUAUUAGAUUUGCCGAAGGAAUCUGAGCCAUAUUUCCACAAUAAUAUUGCUUUAAGUAAUUAGGUGGAUGCUUAGUCCUUUCAGAUCUUAUGAGGUUAGGAACAUCAUUGUUGUUAAAGGAAGAAGUUACAGGAACAUAAUUUUUUAAAGGUAGUGUUGUAGGAAUAACAUAAUUUUGAGGAGCUAUUUGGCUGGGAUACAGGGGAAUGAAUCAAAGGUUUGAGGAAAGUCAAGAAACACAAAAUGAUUGGAAAAUAUAAAAAACAUAUCAAUUCUAAGUAAAAAAAAAAAAAUUAAAUUUUUUGAAAGUACUUUUAAAAAAGCACUCCCAAAUAGGUAAUAAUUCAUUGGUGCUCGAGCCAGACAACAAAGCAUCUCUUUCGUUUGAUAUUUUAUACUGAAAGAGCCGGUCAAUUAUUUUUAUAUUUCCUUAGUUUCUUUCAUAGCAAAGCGCCCUCAGGUCAAUGAUUAAGAAUAUUUGUAGGGUUCUUGAUUAUUUCUUCUUGUCGAGAAGCUUGUGCCUUGUAGCAAUCUAUCACGGGGUGCUUGUCAAGAAAGAUUUACAUAUUAUAAGGUUGAAGUGGUCAAGGGAAGAGAUGACAGGAGGAGGAUAAAGCACAUGAUCUCUCUAGGAAUUCUAUGUACACUGCUCGAUAAUCAACUUCUUUUCACGGUUAAAAGAUUAAAAAAUUAAUUUUUAUUAUUAAUUAUUUUUUACUCUUUAAAUCAAGAAUGGCUUUAGAUUAAUUUUUUAUUUAUUCAUAAUUUGUUUAAAUUAUAUUAAACGAAAAAAUAAUUUAACCUUUCAAUCAGUUGGGAAGGGAUGAAAGGAAAGUAAACGGCUCUAUGUCCUGUUGUCUUGCUAAUGUUUCAAUCAAUGACUUAAGGGCCUGUCAGAAGGAAACGAAAAUAAUGGGGCUUUGACAAGUUCUUUAACCUUUCAAUCAGUUGGGAAGGGAUGAAAGGAAAGUAAACGGCUCUACAUAGCUUUUCUUUUUCAGCUAUCAGUAUUUAAGUACUGAUUUAAGUUCUUUUUCAAACACGCUAUCAGUAUUUAAGUAUAGUUGGACUUCCAAACUUGAAUAUUUUUGUCCUUAUCUUUACCCUACAACGGAAGGAAGGAAGCUCGUGGAUUUGGUCUUUGAUGAGAUGUUCCUACAAAAACAUCAAGCUCGCUGGAUUUCGUUGUUUGUGGUAUUGUCACUUCAGCCUUCCCCAUGUUUAGAGGAAUGAACGUCCUUUUUGCUUGCUACAUAGCUUUUCUUUUACAGCUAUUAGUCUUCCAAACUUGCCAUUCUAGCACCAUCACUGCUCAUUGUGCUCCUUCUUCAUGCGGCAAUAUCCACAUUAGCUUCCCUUUCAGACUAAACACUGAUCCUCAAAGCUGCGGAAACAAUAACUAUGCUCUGACUUGCGAGAACAAUAUUUCUACAGUAUUAUAUUUGUAUUCAGGUAAAUACUACGUGCAGGCAAUCGACUACGGUAACUUCACAAUCCGCGUGGUAGAUGCUGGUGUACAAGAUAAUUGCUGCUCCAUCCCUCGUUAUUCUUUGGCACCUGAUGACUUCAGUGACGGAGAUCCAUACACAUGGUAUAACUACAAGCAGGUGCCGCCGCCGGAAGUGAGUGAAGGUUUCGUGUACUACUGGGGGCCCCGGUACUUACCUCCACUAUCACAGCCUAUGAUUUUCAUGAGCUGUGAAAAUACGGUGAAUUCUCCUCUUUAUGUGGACACGGCUCCCUACGGCCUUAACUAUGGAUCAGGAAAUUAUUCCAACUCUUCUCUUGUGACUCAUUCGAAUUAUGUGACUCUUGGGGGCAUGAAUGCCUCGGAUUUGAUGGAACUGUGCAGCAUAGAGAAAAUAUUUUUGCUUCCAAAGAAGAACUACACAGACAAUUACUCCUUUGAAGAAAUACACAGUGACCUGGCAUAUGGGUUUGAGCUUUCAUGGUACAACAUAAACUGUGAAAAUUGCAGAAGAGGUUGCUACCUCGACAGUGCAGACCGUAGUCGAUGCAUUGGUAUGUAACACUUGAUGAUUAAGUUGCAUCACUUUGAUUCAUAAGACCGUAUAUAACUUGUGAUUUGAGAUGGUUCUGUUGGGCGGAAUCCGGGGACUGGUGAUGUACUGAUAAUUACUCAACGGAAGGAUAAGCACACUGAGACACAAUAUUUUACGUGGUUCGGCAAAACCGCCUACAUCCACGGGAGAGAGUCAUUUUAUUAUAGAUAGAGAAGGGAUACAAUAAAUACAUGGAGGAGGAGGCAUAUCCACUCAACUCAACUCACUAUUCACGCAGCUGCAAUGGCUGCAGGGCUGCUGCCCAUGGCAGCAGCUCUUUCUCUCCUCUUUCUCUUCACUUCAUUCUCAUGUUCUCUCACACUUUGCUCUCUAAGAUCAUGCCUCUUUUAUAGGCAUCAAUGGUGGCUUCUCUUGCUCCUUUGUCAUUAAUGGUGGCUGCCAAACUCCUCUUUUCUUCAACAAAGGCUGCUGCCAACUUCUUCUCUUCUUCAACAAUGGUGGCUACCAAAGUCAAUGGUUGUAGCCACCAUUAGUUGAACAUGUAAUGGCAACAUACCUAACAAUCACCCCCUUUGCCAUUCAUGUGGGGCAAUUGUCCGCUUGCUUUUUCAGCACAAGCUUGCAUCAUGCAGCUCUUCCAAGCUUACCAUUCCGAGAGCAUCUCCGGCCAAGUUUACAGGUACUCGCCAAACCUUUCAAUCACCAGAGUCACUAAAGCACACCCUUGCUUACACCAAAGGAUCACUUCAACCAGAUGGUCUCACACAUCACAUCUGAAGAGUGUUAACGCUUGUCUCUGGGAACAUUCCCCUUCGAGCGUAUCAACCAUGCUCGGUCCGGAAUGAUUUAUCAAGCCUCACACCAAGGCUUACAACACCCCCUCAAACGGAUAUUCCAAGUGCGACAGUCAUUAUCUGAGUAUCUCAAUAUGAUCACAAGCCCACCACUCUUCCAAGAGUCUACUCAUCCAGGAGUUGCGCCUGCCCUCUGUUCCACCAUAGGAACCACGCCUUACUUCUCCAUGAGUCUCCCGCUCUUAGUCGUAAGAGUCCAGGUAGCUCUCCACCUUUAAUAAUGGGGGCAGCCCAUUAAAGGUUGAUCCAUGUAUGUCUUCAUACUCUGAGUAUUACAAUGCCAUCACCGAGCUCACCACCUUGACAAGAGUCAACUCGUUCCCAGAACCUGCGCAUGCCCUCUGCUCCUUCAUAGCAGUCGCGUCUUAAUGCUCCACAAGUCACACACUUAUUGUCCAAGGCAAAUGUCUUCUAGCUCAUUGAUCUUUAGCAUGGGGGCAAUAUCCAUGAAAGUCAAUCCUGCAUUUGUCUUCAUACUCAUCAUAGCCACUUCAUUGGCUAUCCAUUUGUCCACUCAUAUCCAGCCAUCACAUUGGCUCUGGGGCGUUCUGAACUGGGCUCAUAUCGUGGCCCACACACCUUUUCAUUAGGUGUCUCCGCUCGUCUUCAUGCGGCGGUCUGAAAUCUAGGCUCAUAUCAUGGCCCUCACACCUUCCAUCCGAGCGGUCUCAUCCUCCUUCAUCGGGAUGACUCAAGUGGCUUCAAGAUUCUCUACCACCAUGUGGACUUGGGAGAUAUUACUGCCACUGACUACAUAGAAAGAGAAAAUUGCGGUAUACUCCUCGCAAUCCUCCACCUUGAUUUCUAUGUUUGGAGCUUCUACAUCUUUCAGCUUUACAGCUCCACCUACACCACUCUCUUUGGUGUCUUCGCCUUUCAUAGGCGGUCGCCUUGUAUCACAAGCGUUUGCACCCCCUCAAUUAGGUGCCUUUGCAACAGCUCUCUUUCCAUCCUUGCAUGCAUUGGAAAGGUCUUCGCCUGUUGUCUUCAUCAAGAGCAUAAGAGACUUCCUGUUGUACAAACUUUAACAGUCUCUACUCUGAGCUUCAUUUGGGAACACUUCUUCUCCUUGCACCUGUUGUCUCAUUACAGUACCUCGUUGGAUCCCUCGGGUACUCUUGCACAAUCUUCGUGUGCCCUCGUGCAAUUAAUGUUCUCCAGAUUUCUCCCUAUUCCUUGCUUAUGUUUGACAGCAGCUCAUCCCGUCACAACACCUGUCCAAGUCAAAAUAGGGUGCCAAUCUUUAUCCCCUUGCUGUAUUUCUCUUCCAUUAUCAGGGUCUUCAUCAAUUCUCCCUUCGAGAAAUCACAAUCAUCGAAUCUACCUUCUUUGGAGAAAUCACCACUCCAUCAGAUCCUUGAUCAUGCGGAACCCAACUGUUCCCCUUGUGCCGUCAUCCUGCUAGUCUUCAACUGUUUCAUUACAAACUGCUAUAUAUACGAAAAUAGUACCGUAUGGAUAAUCCUUCCACUAAGCAAGUUCCCAGGAAAGAUUGGAGGGGUCACAACGGUCCCGCUUAAAACCCAAUCUCCUAGACAGAACUUCUUAGGCCAUAUCUAUCCAUCGUACUGUCUCUCCGUAUAUACAACCAUUUGCUAGCUUUGUUGCGGCUUUGCUUUACAAGUGAUCUGGAAUAUACAGGUUUAAUACAUGAUUUCUCAACAUCUAGCGAGACUACCAGUGCUUAGAUUCGUCAAGAUUGGUCUUCGUCAAUUUCCACUCUCCACCUCAAAUCGUCCACAUGACCGGGUGUCCAGAGUGUCCCAAUUUUUCCUUCCAUCAAGGCAUUAUAUUUCCCCAUUAAAUAGUUCAGCACAUGUAAUUGGGUAAACAUGUGCACCUUUUUCUUCUUCAUCUCCAUCGACCACCAUGAUGACCUUCAGAUGCCUCCUGAUCGGGCAAUCUCUCUUUAAUAAUUCACCACCGCCAUUUUUGGUCUCGAAUCUCAACGAUCGGACCGUACCAUUGCAUCCGGAAUGAUCAAAUUAGCUGGAAACAUGUCUUGAAUCGUCCAAAUCGCACUUCAGACGGCUAAGAUUUGAUCAAAACAAUUCUGGCCUUAUCAACGGCUCAGAUUCAAUCUCAGAUCCGGUUUCACGUAGACUCUGCUGCACAGAAUCCUAUCCCUCGGCUCGCGGCUCGGCUCGGCUCCAACUUGGCCCGGCUCAACUUUGGCUCGGCUCGGCUUGGCUCGCGGCUGAUGACAUGGCCAGUGGGUCCCACUAUGCUGACAUGGCUGUUGACUAGUCAAUGGCCUGCUGACUGUGUAUGAUGAUGUCAUCCUUGCAUCAUGCGCAUGUCAUCCUUUGCAUGGCACUAUUCAUGGUGCGUCACUGUUCAUACCUACUGUUUACAUGGGUCGGGUCGACUGGUAUUCGGGUCGGGUCAUCCGGGUGAAGAAGACGCGUGGCACGCGUGGGGCGCGUGGGCAGACACCUUGCCGGAGAGUGAUGGAGAGUGCGGCCAUAUCCGACGUCCGAUUUUGACGCGGUUUUCACCAGUGGCUUCGUCUCUUCCUCCUCUACACAGUGGGAUGGUCAAAACACAAUUUGGACAACUUUCAUUUUUGAGCAAAAAAUCAAACACCACUUAAACCAUAUGCUCUGAUACCAAUUGUUGGGCGGAAUCCGGGGACUGGUGAUGUACUGAUAAUUACUCAACGGAAGGAUAAGCACACUGAGACACAAUAUUUUACGUGGUUCGGCAAAACCGCCUACAUCCACGGGAGAGAGUCAUUUUAUUAUAGAUAGAGAAGGGAUACAAUAAAUACAUGGAGGAGGAGGCAUAUCCACUCAACUCAACUCACUAUUCACGCAGCUGCAAUGGCUGCAGGGCUGCUGCCCAUGGCAGCAGCUCUUUCUCUCCUCUUUCUCUUCACUUCAUUCUCAUGUUCUCUCACACUUUGCUCUCUAAGAUCAUGCCUCUUUUAUAGGCAUCAAUGGUGGCUUCUCUUGCUCCUUUGUCAUUAAUGGUGGCUGCCAAACUCCUCUUUUCUUCAACAAAGGCUGCUGCCAACUUCUUCUCUUCUUCAACAAUGGUGGCUACCAAAGUCAAUGGUUGUAGCCACCAUUAGUUGAACAUGUAAUGGCAACAUACCUAACAGGUUCCAUAUAUUUUCUCUGGCUUACUUUUCAAUUUUUCAUUUUUUUGGGCAUUAGCACAAUAUUGCACUGUCCCCAGAUGUUCAUGUACAAAUUCUGUGCAUCCAUUACCCGUGGAUUCUACUAUAGUGCACUGAUCAUAAGAUUCAUUCAUGUUCAUAUUGUAAAAUAUUCCGACUAUAAUGUGGUUGAAGGUAGUUGGACAGAUUCAUUGGUCUUUUGCAAUUUCAGGAUUGACACAGAAAACGUUUGGUUCAUCUUAACUUGACCAUGGAUACACAUUAAUUAGUUCAAGUCACAUUAUUAAUUGUGUGCUAUUUUCUAUUUUCUUUCGCAUUUACUGUUGCGUAUACCAUUAGAACUCGUUUUUUAACCUAAAUUCUCGACAGAUGAAAGCUACUGGCAAAUUAUACUCUACCUUCUGACAGGUGCGAAUUCUUUUUCUCUAUCUCACCAUGUUUGUGUAUUCUUACGUGUUUCUUUAAACUGUUAGAAAUAUUUGAAGAAGAAGAGUAAAAAUAGGAAUAUGAGAAAUAUGGUCUCAUAGUAAACUCUGCUAAGUCCUACUAGACUUGGACUUAGACUUACAAUAUUUUUAAUAUAUAUUUAUAUUAGUUUAGGAUAAUUCAAGAGAUUUUAAAGAUAAAUACAUAUUUAAGUAGUCACAUGUAUAUAGUUAGGAGACAUCUAGGAGAACUAAAAGACACUUUAAAUGUAGACUUCAAAAUUAAUUCUAACAUAAACGACAUAUUUGUGAAACAAGGAUUGUUGUUUCUUGAAUAGUAAUUGUAAUUUUGUUCACCAUUUUCUGCAGAUCCCUACCUCUAUUUAUCUAUAUCCAUUUUAUUUGGUAAGAGAUUCCUUCAUUUCUUUAGUUUCGCAACAAAUUUCUAGUGGAGACAACAAAUAAGAUCACAAAACUUGAUUGUUUUCUGGAAAUUUCCUACACAGCACUACUUCAUGGGCUAAAAGUUGUUUGUGGGACUCCAUGUGUGAUUAUAUUUUUGAUCUACAAAUGGCGAAGGAGACAUUUAUCAGUAUACGAUACAGUUGAACAAUUCCUACAGAGUCAGAAUAACCUGAAGCCAGUAAGGUAUUCCUACUCAGAUAUCAGGAAGAUUACUAGAGGUUUCAAGAACAAAUUGGGUGGAGGCUUUGGUACAGUUUACAAAGGAAAGCUUCGCAGUGGGCGUUUUGCAGCAGUAAAAUUGUUGGGAAAAUCAAAAGCUAAUGGACAGGAUUUCAUAAAUGAAGUUGCUACUAUAGGAAGGAUUCACCAUACUAACGUGGUGCAGCUAAUUGGUUUUUGCGCUGAAGGAUCAAAGCGAGCUCUUGUAUAUGAUUUCAUGCCUAAUGGAUCUCUUGACAGACACUUGUUUUCUCGAGAAGGAUCAAUCUCUUUAAGCUGGAAAAACUGCAUCAGAUUUCCCUUGGAGUGGCUCGUGGUAUCGACUAUCUUCAUUUAGGCUGUGACAUGCAAAUACUUCAUUUUGAUAUCAAACCUCACAAUAUUCUUCUCAACGAAAAUUUCACUCCAAAAGUUUCUGACUUCGGGCUUGCUAGGUUGUACCCAACGAAUGGCAGCAUCACAUCUCUUACUGCAGCAAGGGGCACCAUAGGAUACAUGGCUCCUGAAUUGUUCUACAAAAACAUUGGACGUGUCUCCUAUAAAGCUGAUGUUUAUAGCUUCGGAAUGCUGCUAUUGGAAAUGGCAGGCAAAAGGAAGAAUGUAAACGCAUUGGCAGAAAAUUCAAGUCAAAUCUACUGGCCAUAUUGGGUUCAUGACCAAGUAUCUGAUGGAAAGGCCAUAGAAAUCGGAGACGAUGCCACGGAGGAAGAACGUAAGAUCAUCAAGAAGAUGAUUAUGGUUGGAUUGUGGUGUAUACAAAUGAAACCCAUGGAUCGGCCUACAAUGAAGAAUGUUGUGGAGAUGCUUGAAGGAGAUUUGGAAAACUUGCAAUUGCCUCCUAAGCCUGUCUUCAAUCUAGAUGUGACGCCACCAAACAUUGAAGGAGAGUCAUCAUCGUUGACAGGUUAUUCUACCGAAUCAACCAGUUUGGUUGAAAUGAAUACUAAGUGAUAUGAUGUGGAAUGCUCUGCUUACAUGCAGGGAAAAUGAUAGAAUAAUGGUGCUUUCGGACUUGGUUGCGAUGAUUUAGUCUGCAAACAUUAUGAUAAUUUGCAAUAUUUCCUUUUAUCUGAUUUGUGUUUAGCUAAUUUAGAGUUCAAGCUGCGGCUUUUUUCUUCUGUGUGGUCUAUAUAAUCAUCAUACAAAGAUGUUCUGUACUGUGUUUAACUAUCAGAUUUGCACUCUGUUUGGCAAUCAUAGCAGUUGGCGAGGAUGGAACAUCCUCCAUGAUAACUGUUAAUUACAUGUUCUACAUAUUAAUUAUCGGAUUUGUCUCCAGCAAGAGUAAUAUUUUGGCUACAAAUUAACAAGAGACUGUCAUAGGGAUUAUAUAAACAAGUUGAUGCAUGAAAAGACGAGUCUCUGUUUAUAGGUAGCCACUACAAGUAGCUUCGGAGACCACAAAUACAAGGCAAGUCUCUCUAGUAAUCCUUCCACUACAAGUAGCUUCGGAGAUAGAAAAUAGCGAUUUAUUUGCUAUCAUAGGGAUGAUUCUGAACAAAGCGGCUUAAUUUCAUUUUCUUCCACCAACAAUGCCUUCGUGUCAAUGUUCAGCCCCAUGAUAAUCGAUCUAGGUCACCAUUUGCACAUUACCAUAUCUUGCAUAAGCCACGAGGAACCAAUCACAACAAAACAGGAUUGAAAACCAUGACCAUAACGGGUGCUGUGAAAUGAAUAUUGAAACAGAUGGGUGAAUUUGAUGCAGAAAUCUUCUCUUUCUCCAAAAAAGGAAAAAACGAAAAGUAGAGAGGAGACAAUGAAGCCUGCUUACCGGUCAUGGCAUUUCACCAGGGAGGCAAGGUCUUCAAAAAUGCUCAACUGUGUUCAACAACCUUUCAGGAUCUGCUUCAAUUUUCCUAAGAGAAUGGGGAACAGUGAACGGGAUCCUCGUUAGCUGCGGGCAAUCACCCACAGUAAUUUCCUCAAGAGAAUUGCAUAGAAGUCUUCCAGAAUAAAUGCUAUUGAAAUUUGGUAAUUUCUUCAAUACCAAAACCCUCAAUGUCUACUAUCCUCUGAUGGGUUCUCCCCUCUUCAUCAGUUCCCACAAUCUCCGAUCACUUGCAAUUGCAGUCUAGACAUUCUUCGACUCCGAUCACUUGCAAUUGCAGUCUAGACAACAACCAAGGAGGGAGUAGCACCUUCAUCCUAUGACAUUUGUGUAUCAUGAUCUCUCUAAGUUUGCAAAAGACACCACAGUAACCUUGCAAGCAAUUAGUGAAAUGUUAACCUAAUUUUUAACUCUUUUACUUUUACUUUUACUUUUAUUUUUAUUUUCAUUAUAUUUUCUAAAAAAUAAAAAUAAUGAUGAAAAAAACUGAAAAAGAAUUGUAAAAAAUAAAAAUAAUAAUAAUAAAAAAUAAAACCAAUGAAGAAUGAAUUUAAAUUUGGAUUAAGGAAACAUAAUUGGAAGUUUGGAGAUUUAAUUAAACUUUGGAUUAGUUUAAUUAACCAAAUCAAAGGUUUAAUUGAAGAAUUGAUAAGUUUGGGUACUUAAUUGAACUUGAGAUUAGUUUAAUUAAUGAAAUCAAGGGCUUAAUUGAAACAAUGCCAAAGUUGAGGGCUGCAUUGGGCUACAAUUGCAAGACAAUAAAAUCAGAGGACCAUGUUGUGAAUUCUCUGCAAUUAAGGAGUCAAGUUACAAUUUACCCAGGAGCUUGAUUACAAAACUGCUGGACUUCAGUGACCACACUGAAGAUGGCCAUUUGCAUCCCAAAAACGGUGCCGUUUCAGGAUGCACUAUUCAUCUUCUUCAUCUUACCAUUAAGGAAAAAAACGGACGCCAGCUGCCCGCGAUCGCCAUUACUCCAGCAUUAGCAACGGUUGGUCCCCUCGUUAUUUGGAGGCGACCGCAUGGCAUUCUCUGGCUUUAUAUAAAAGCCAGAGAAAGGUCACGGGGGGAGGGGGAACAGAGGGAAAUACCAGAAGAAAAAAAAAGCAUACAAAGGGGGGACGAACAGAAAAACAGGGGAGGACGCAUGAGAGAGAGAGACCGAGAGAGGGGGGAAGACGAAAAAAACAGAAGAGAACACAGACCGGAAUACCAGAGGUGAAGGAAAAAAAAAGGAGGAGAAAGGAACCGACAAAGGAGGGGGAGGGGAAGAAAAAAAAACCAGGAAAAACAAGGAGGAUGAACUGAGGACGAACAGAGGAGACACACCAGAGAAAGACAAAGAAAAAGGAAGACUAAAACAGAGAGGAGGAGAGAGCAAAAAGACAGUGUUCCCAGCUUUUCCUUCGUCCCCAGAAUGCAAGCAAAGUGAACAAACGAAAACAGAGAAACUACGAGCAUUGAUCAGCCUGGGCAUUCGUCUCCAGCACCACUCCGAACCAUCAGAAACAAAGGAAGAAACCCAGAAAAAAAUAACAGCAGAUAAAGAAGAACGACCCAAAAUCAGUCAAAAAAAAAACCCACAGAAAGCCGGCAUCAUCAUCAUCUUCUUAGUUCCUUCAUCUCAAGAACCGAGAAACGAACGACCACAAAAAACACCAGAGAAGACAGUGGGCACAGAAGGAAGACAAAGGAAAGCAGAAGGAAAGGACAUAAGCAAACGAGAGUCAUCACCAGCAUUGCAACCAUCUUCGUCGUCUCCAGAAGCAGGUACGCCCAUUCUCUUUUCAUUCUUUGUAUUCUUGGAAGUGUUAUUUGAACACUGUGCGAAGGUAAUGAACUUCACGUGCCUCUUGUUUUGGGCCACACACAUUUUUAUAUUAUAAAAUUCCAAAAAUCCUUGUGCAUGUUUUAAAUUUAUUUGUAGAUCCCUAUAUUUUUCACUAUAUAAUUAAUUUAUGUAUUUUUACUGUAAAAUGUAAAUCCAGUAUAAAAUAUUUUUUUAAAAUAAAAAAAUAUACAUACAUUGAUUUAAAUUUAUUUUUAUCAUUGACAUCAGAGUAAGGAAUAUCAUACGUUUUGUUUUUUGGCUAUAUAAUAUUUACCAACGUCAAAAUUAGAAAUAUUCAUAAUUGAAUAUUCACAUACGCUACAAUCAAAAAUAUUAUAAACAAAUUAUCAUAGCAUAAACCAACAAACUUUUAGCAAUUUAAGACACAAAACCAGUAAUGUAGUUUGUCACGGAUGGAAUGUUUAAGGAUGAUAAUAUCUUUUUCACAUAACCAAUGUCGUACAAUAUAAUCUUUAUUGAUUAGUUAGGAUUUCUAAUAACCAUAAUACUAGAAGUAUGUAACUUCUUAAACAAGACUUUUUUCAUUCCAAGAACAAAAAAUAUGUUCUUUUCAAUUCAAUUUUUUUUUAAGAGUUUGUUCUUUUCAAUUUAAUUUUUUUAAUGCUGCCACGAUGUGAGAUGAGACACGUUAAAAUUGGAAAAUUUCAAACUCUAUUAGAUAAUGGAAGUUACAUUUCAAUGUUUCCAACUUCUCCAAUGCCGUAAGCUUUGCUAAUGAUGGUACAUAACUCAGCUUUGCACACCAUCCCAGCAACAAUACAGUUAGACUUACCAGAUGAGAAAUAGAAUCUGGCAAGCGCUCUAUGUUUGCCUCCGACAGAUCAAGAACCUCGAGUCUUUUGAAUUGCUGGAAAAAAGGCUACUGUGGAGAAACUCAACCAAUUUCAAUUCGUAGUUUCUGCAUAACAAUAAUGUUGACCUAUCCUUGAUUCUAUUUUCCAUGAGAGAAACUCUUGAUAGAUCCUCUCUCCACCAUCUUACAUCAGGUAACUCUGUUAAUUGGGCACCUACUUUAACCAUAGCCCUUGAACUUUCUUUCAUUAUUUUCACAGCCAUAUCCCUAAUCAAACCAUGCAUCUUGACAUAUCUGUACUUUUCAUCAUCCUUGGAACCUUGUAAUAAGCUAGCAUUUUCAAGUUGAUUAAGCAUGGGUUGCCCCUAUCAAAUUGUGCUUGCCUGCUCAAUCAGAUUGUGCUAGCAUUUUCAAGUUGAUUAAACUUUCCAUUUCUUCAACUAUACCAUCAUCAAUCAAAUACUCAAUCAGGUCUUCAUGUCUUUUGGAAACAAUGCACAGUAUAAGCACUCUUUCAUUGCUUUAUUUUUUAACCAAACAUAACUAUAUUUCAAUAUCCGAAACACAUCGGUUUCCAUGUCACAUGUUCCAAUUUCUGAACUUGCCAGUUCCCGCACUUCUCCACUGAGAUACAUCAUCCACUCCCUUCAUGCUUCCAGCCCUUGUCAUGAUUCUGAGAGCCAAACCAGAUUAGUACUUCUUCACAAUAGACUCUGCAAUCUGUUUCGUUGUAGGAGAAAGUGCAAUACCAUUCCCUAAUUUGUCUAUGAACAAAUUCCAAGCUUCACCCUCAGAAAUAGGCUCCACUUUGAUUAUCCUUUCACAAUCCAUUCUAUUACAUAUGCCCAAUGAUCUAGUUGUGAGAAUCAAUUUACGCCCAUUUGUUCUACGAGAUAUUCCCACUUUCUCAGGAUGAAAAUCAUCCCACAAAUCAUCAAGAAUGAUAACAUGGUUUUGUAUCACACUCAUUGUUGUCCAUAGCUUCCCAGCUCUACUCGUCACAUCUUUUUCCUUUCGGAAGACAUAAACCAAAAGCUUCGGCAAUGAGAUCCUGCAAUGCAUGAAUGCUAAAUUCUUGUGACAUAGUAAUCCUGUUGGGAUAUUGCCGCUUAUGUUGCAACAUCUGCAGCCCAUCUUCUAGAAGAAGAUGGAUGUCAUUAUUAAAGAAAAAAGGCUAGUUUGUGAGAGUCAAAAAGAGUUGCUGGUACAACAAUCAAAAGUCAUAAAGUAAGUAAAUGUUAGGUAGUCAUCAUUGUUGACAAAUGAGUAAGAGAAGCUACCAUUAAAGCCUAUAAAUAAAGGCAUCACUUGAAGAGCAAAAGGUGAGAGUUGAGAGAGUGUGAAGAGAAGAGAGGAAAAGAAAAAGAGGAGUGGCUACCAAGGACAGCAGUCCUGCUACCAUGUGCAGCAGUGUCGGAGAGCAAUGGAAGUUUAGUAAGAGUUUGAGUGAAGUGAACCUCCUCCUCCAUGUUUUUUGUAACCAUUUCUCUAUCUCUAAUAAUAUUGGUUCUUUUCCUGUGGAUGUAGGCAGUUUGCCGAACCACGUUAAAUAUUAUGUCAGUAUACUUAGCCUCUAAUGGACAACUAUCAGUAUAUCACUGGUCGGAAUCCCCAACAAAUCCAACAAACAUGAAAAAAAAUGCUUGGUUUCUCUUGAAGCUGAUUAUAGAUAUGUGCAUCUAAAGUUGUCUUUCUCACUCCCCCAUCCCGUACAUGCCAAUGCAUGAGACCUCACCUCACCAUUCAACAACCAAUACCAGACAUCCUUCAUAUUUCUUUCAAUAGCUUGACCCACUAGCUUCGUUGUCGGGAAUACAUAUCUUUUAGUCCUACGUCGCUUAUGUACAGGCCUUUUAGAAUAGCUUACCGUGUAAUUUCUCAAGUCAUGUUCUCUAUAUAAAUUCUUAACAAAACAUCCCUCGUUGAUGAGGAUGAGACGUUAUUCAAGAUCAUUUCAAAUGCCUGGCAUGUUUUCUUUGUUCUCUGUCUAGUCUCGGGUUCAUCUGGCAUAAGUACAACAUGAGCUCUAGGUUCCUCAACAAUCCCAAUCUCCCCCCUGAUCCAGAUAUCCAUCCAUCCUAGGCUCUCAUAAAAAAGAGGAGGUUCUUCUUGUUCCAUUUCUAAACACCGCCCAGGAGUUGAAGCUGCAUUAAUUGCCUCGUUAUUGCUUGAACUUGGCACGCUCUUAUCUACAGGCCUGUUAGAAGUGUUAGAAAUAACACUCUUAUGAAGCUCACAUGAUUGAUGGAAAUUGCAUAAUCUUAUUUGAUAAACGAGUGCUGCUUAAAUACAGCUUCUUACAAACAGAAAUGAGAAAAACUAGCUACUGCAGAUGUUAUUUUACGUGGAUCAAAUCACUAAUAUUAUGGCUUGAGAAGAGGUCCUAUUUGACUGCCAUAAUCCUAGAAAAAUAGCCACAAUCCCAGAAUGAUAGGAAUAGGAUUUUAUUUCUGCAGACUUCUUCAAACUGAACCUUCCUAAUAUAUCCUCCCCUAAACUGAGCAUGUUGUGCAUUUGCUCAGUUUAGAUCCUUCUUCUCUUGUACUCCCAAGAGCAUUCGAAGUUUUACAAAAUCUUCAAGUUUAAGCGGCUUUGUCAGAAUGUCUGCUAGCUGCUCCUUAGUGCCACAGUAGAUGAGCUCUACUUCUCCCUUUUUGAUAAGAUCUCGAAUAAAAUGAAAUCUUACAUUGAUGUGCUUUGUUCUCCCAUGAAAUACUGGAUUCUUGGACAAUUUAAUGGAUGAACUAUUAUCCCAGAACACAGUAACACAUUUACACUGAUCUUCUUCAAUGCUAUUUAGAACUUCCUUCAUCCAUAUACUUUGGCAUGCACAAGUGGUGGCUGCUACAUACUCUGCUUCAGUAGUUGAUAGAGUAACUAUUGGUUGCUUUUUGGAGCUCCACGCCACUGCACCAUCUCCCAACAUGAACACAUACCCAAAAGUGUUUUUCCCCCCAUCCAAGUCACCCGCAAAGUCACUAUCAGUGUAUCCUUUAAGGGUGUUGUCCGAGCUUUUUUUGUAGAAAAUACCAAACUUCAUUGUCCCCUUUAGGUACCUGAGUAUUCUUUUUGCAGCUAGUAGAUGUCCUUCCUUCGGUGCAGCCAUGAACCUGCUUAGAAAACUCACUACAUACAUUAUAUCAGGUCGCGUUGUUGUGAUAUACAUGAGGCUGCCAAUUAAUUGCUUGUAUUCGGUGCUGUCAAUUUCUUCUCCUUUCUCUUGUGAUGAUAGUUUAGUUCCUGGAACCAUAGGGUUAUUGACUGCAUUGCAGCUGCUCAUUCCAAACCUUGCAAGUAUUUCAUUUGCAUAUUUUCCUUGACAUAAGAAAAUUCCAGCCUCUGUUUGAUGUACCUCUAUACCAAAAAAAUACUUCAUCCUCCCUAGAUCAGUCAUAUCAAAUUCUGACUGCAUGGAGGCUUUAAAUUUUUCACAUAACAUCACAUUAUUACCAGUAAAGAUUAAGUCAUCCACAUACAAAAUUACCACCAAAAAACUUCCUCCUUCCUUCUUUAUGAACAAGGUGUGUUCAUAGCUGCAUUUGUUGAAACCUUCAACAGCAAAGUAAUCCUCUAACUGACUGUACCAAGCUCUAGGGGCUUGUUUCAAUCCAUUUAAUGCCUUCUUUAGUAGAUAUGCUUUGUACUCUUCUCCCUUUCGAAUGUAUCAUUCGGGUUGUUCAAUAUAAACAACCUCAUUCAGUUCUCCGUGAAGAAAAGCGCUAUUUACGUCAAGCUGAAAGACUUCCCAACCUCGCAGUGCAGCUAGAGAGAGUAGCAUUCUGAUGGUGUCCCAUCUAGCGACUGGCGAGAACACUUCGUUGUAAUCUAUUCCUUAUCUUUGAUCAUAACCCUUCACAACCAGUCUUGCCUUGUGCUUAUCGACCUCUCCUUUUUCAUUCAAUUUGGUUUUGAAAACCCACUUCACUCCAAUCUUUUUCAUUCCUUUAGGUAGGUCCACUAACUCCCAUGUAUUGUUUUUCUCGAUAGCUUGUAUCUCAGUGUCCAUGGCAUUUUUCCAUUUAAUGUCUUUUACGGCAUCACCGUAACUUACUGGAUCAUCUUCAGUAGCAUAGAGCACUAAGUAUUGCUCUUCCUCUUCUUCCUCUGCAAGAUUUUCACCAGUUACAUAAUCUUGCAGGUGUCUUGGAGGUAUGCUGAUCCUUUUUGUCUGCUCCCUUCGAGUAUCCUGAGAUUGAGCAAGGGUUGUACUUCUUGCCUUCUCUGUUUGUGCUGCAGCCUGCUCAUUUGGUAUGCCAUCUUCUUCUCUGCUUGUUCCAUUGAAUGAUUCUGUGUCAUCCCAAGUUAAUUCCUCUUGUUCAUCAUCUGUCCUCCCCCAAUUCCAUGUCUCCUUUUCAGCAAAGAUCACGUCUCUGCUGGUGAUGAUUUGCUUGCUCUCGGGAUCGUAAAGUCUAUAGGCUUUAGACUCUUCACUGACUCCCAGGAAUACACAUUUAUGGCUUUUAUCUUGUAGCUUGAUCCUCUUCACAUCCGGUAUAUAUGCAUAGGCAACACAUCCAAAAACUCUAAAAUGUGCCACAUUAGGCUUGUUUCCAGUCCAGCACUCUUUUGGAGUUUUAUUUGUAAUUGAUGCAGUAAGACUUCAGUUGAUGAUGUGUACAGACCACUUUGCUGCUUCUGCCCAUAAAUUCCUUGGCAUUUUUCCUUCAACAAGUAAACAUCAAACCAUGUUCAUGAGAGUUCAGUUUUUACGUUCAGCAACUCCAUUUUGCUGAGGAGUGUAUGAUGUGUUGAACUGUCUCUUGAUUCCCUGGGUGCUGCAAAAUUCUUGAAAAACUUGGGAAGUGUAUUCUCCUCCUCGAUCGCUUCUAAGACACCGAAUGCUCAUCCUGUCUCUUUCUUAACUUUGGUUUUAAAGUGUUUGAACUUCUCAAAAGUUUCUCCUUUUUCUGCCAGUAAAUAAAGCCAUGUUUUUCUACUAAAGUCAUCUAUGAAUGUCAGAAUAUACCUCUUGUUGCUCAUGGUAGUUGGAGUGAUUGGUCCACAGAGAUCUGAGUGGAUAAGCUAACUUUUCUGAUGCUCUCCAGUUAGCUUUCUUUGGCAUCUCUUCUCUGUGUUGCUUCCUUUUGUUGCAUACUUCACACACUUUGCUUACUUCUAUGAUUUUAGGCAUCCCUUCCACCAUUUGCUUGAAGUGCAAGCUUCAGAGUCCUUUCUGAUGUAGGUGACCAAAAUCAUCUAUGCAAAGCCCUGUGAGAUCCUCUUGUGUUACUUGCAGACAUGCAUCAUUGUGUUGUUCAGUAAGCAUGACAAACAUUCGGUUUGUAGUCAUAUAUGUGUGUACAAUCAGUCCCUUUGUGGGAUGAAGGAUAUUGCAGGCUCCUCUUUGCAUUAUCACUGUCAGAUCUUUCUCCUACAGCUGCCCAACACUUAACAAAUUGUUUGUUAAGUCUGGCACAUAAUAUACAUCACUUAUGAUUUGUGUUCUUCCUUGAACUCUCAGUUUAAUGUUCCCAAGACCCAUAACCUGCAUCCGAGCAUUGUUUCCCAGCUUCACAGUGUGUGAGAACUCCUCAUUCAAUGUAACAACCACCUUUUGUUACCUGUCAUAUGGUUGGAACAUCCUGAAUUGAUGAACCAAACAUCUUCUCUGUUUGAUCCCCUCAUUUCAACGUGAGCCAUGAGUAAAAGUUCUUCUUCAUCAUCCAGCUCAACAUAAUGUGCGUUUGUUUCCCAGGUAGGGCAUUCAUACUGAAAAUGCCCUGGCCUGUGACAUUUGAAGCAUUUCAUUGUGCCUCUGCCAAACACCUGCCUUCCUCUCCCUCUGUUUGGUCCUCUAAAGCUGAUACCUCCUCUUCCUCUAUUAGUGUUUAUUCUGCCUUCUCCAAUUGAAGUAUGCAACACCUGCUCCUCGUUUUUAUCUUUUUCCAGCCUUUUGAAUUUGGCUUCGUGAACUACAAGAGAACUUUGUAAUUCAUCAACUGUCAUGGAGCUCACAUCCUUGGAUUCUUCUAUCGAGACCACCACAUAAGUAAACCUCUUUAUCAAGGUUCGGAGCAUUUUUUUCGACCACCUUUGUGUCUGGCAUAAUCUCCCCGUUACUCCUCAUUUGGUUAGCAACUGAUGUAACUCUAGCAAAGUACUCUGUAAUUGACUCACUUUGCUUCAUUUGCAGAAUCUCAAAGUCUCUUCUCAGUGUGUUGAGAAGAUAUUUCUUCACCUUUGAAUUCCCUCCAAACUUGCUCUUCAAUGAAUCCCACACAAUCUUUGAUGUGCGCCUGUCUAAGAUCUACUCAAAUGUAACUCUAUCUAUUGCUUGAUAUAGAUAGUGUUUCACUUGAUGAUCUUUCAUCUUGGCAUCAUCAUGUUUUGUCUGCUGCGUAUUAGUAAGCGCAGUUCCAAUGAUUGGCUCCUGAACAUCAAUCUCCACAAGACUCCACAACCCUUUUGCUCUCAGCAAGUUUUCCAUCAAUUCACUCCAAUGAUCAUAAUGUUGACCAUCAAAAUGAGGAAUCUUCGUUAAACUAUUAUCCUCACUCAUUUUCUUUCUUCUUGUUAUCGAGCUGCACUUUUGUUGUGUUUGAAUCUAAAGAGGCUCUGAUACCACUGUUAGAAAUAACACUCUUAUGAAGCUCACAAGAUUGAUGGAAAUUGCAUAAUCUUAUUUGAUAAACGAGUGCUGCUUAAAUACAGCUUCUUACAAACAGAAAUGAGAAAAACUAGCUACUGUAGAUGUUAUUUUACGUGGAUCAAAUCACUAAUAUUAUGGCUUGAGAAGAGGUCCUCUUUGACUGCCAUAAUCCCAGAAAAAUAGCCACAAUCCUAGAAUGAUAGGAAUAGGAUUUUAUUUCUGCAGACUUCUUCAAACUGAACCUUCCUAAUAAGAAGAGCUUCCUCUCUCAGCAACAGACUGCAUCAAUUCCCAAGUCAUGUUCUCUAUACCACUACUUGAAUCAACAUCCCUCAUCAAUGAAGAUGGGAUGUUUUUCAUAUCCAUUUCAAAUGCUUGACCUGCUGGCUCUGUUUCCAAUCCAAUCUCAGGUGCAUCAGGCAUAAGCAUCCUAGGAACCAUGGUCUCCUCAGUAAGCACAAUCUCUCCCCCAAUCAUCCUAUCCAUCCACGCCAAUCCAUCAUCCAAAAGAGGUUGUCCUUUUUUACUGUGGACAGCACGCUAACAUUGCAAACGAUGAGAAAGAGCGUGAUCCACAGAUGGAGAGAAAGAAAUAGGCCAAGAAAAGAGAAAGCAGUAGAGUAGACAUCCUUAAGAGCAGUAUGUUCACAAAUGGAGAGCAGUAUAUAUGUAUAGUUUUCAUUAUCGGUUCUUUUAAUUAUACUCAAAUCCGACUCAAACAAUAAUUGUUUAUAAAACAUUUAAUUCAUUCGGAUUGGUUUUGUAGAGUAGUUAUCAGUUAAGGUGAAACUGUAAUCUGUACCUCCAGAUGUUAGAAAGAUAUGCCAGGCUUUUAGAAAUAAAAGGUUAUGAGCAUUCAUGUAUGGAUUUGAUCUUCUAGUUAGAUGGUCUAACAUAUUUUUUUAUGUUUAAGUAGGACAAGCCUAAACUUAAACCAAGGUUUGAUUAUUUCAGGCUAUGUUAAUAUCUUAAAAAUGAGUUAUCUAGAGAACCAGUCGUUGAAUCAAACUUAAAAUUUUUUCAAGUGAUUAAAAAGAUAAUUUUCCUACAAGAAGCGAUUGUCUUUACACCGAUUGAUCUUCCAAAAUUAGGUUUCAAUCCUGGAUGCUCUUGUGUGGGAAAAUUUUGUUAUUUUUCCUAGGGUGUUUCAGAUUUCUUGCAUUAUUGUAGGUUUUGUUUUAUUUUUCUUAAAAUUUUUGGACUUUGAGUUGUCUCUUAGUAUAGCUAGAUUAAAAAAGCAAUUCUCCUAGGCACUUAGACUUGAUAGUGUGUCAAGUCUAGGAUAGCAUAUGUUUGACACACAUGUUAAACCCAAAAUGUUUGAACUUAACAGUCAGUCAAACUCAAGAUAACAUGAAUGGUAGCAUGGGCCUGACAUGCUUGCAAGACCCAAGGUAGCGUGGGUCUGGCAUGCAUGUUUAGACCUAGCAGUUAGACACAUUCAAGAUAAUGACAAUCCUCCCUUGACAUGUCUAAAGGAAUGACCAACCUCCCUUGGAUCUAACCCCAGAAAAGAACAUGGUCUCUAUAGGCUUAGCUAAAUUUAACGUCUUAAACUCUAAUCUUCCUAUACCUUUUUAGAUGUAUAAAAAUUUUUCAAAGAUACACCACAUUCCUAUCAGAUAAGAUAUAUUUAUCUCUCAUUAAAUAUUAUCAAGAUAAUUACACGACGGGCUCUUUUUUAAUAAAAGAAUAAGAUUUGUAGGUUAUAAAUACAUAUUGAAAGCUUCAUAACAAAGGUUUACAAUUUUCAAUUUUCUACUACAUUUAUAUUUUCAGAGUAUCUUUUUAGAAUAUUCUUGUAUUUUAUUUCUCUCAAAAAAUACUAACUUUAUAAGAUGAUAUUUAAAUCUCCCAAUUAAAAUUAUUUUGUUGCAGGUAUCCAAGAUCUUCUUGGUGAAUUUAAAAUAUUUUAGAAUAUAAAAAAAAUCCAAAUAUUUUAACAUAUUAAUAAACCACUAUCCCUAACAUCAAAUAUCUUUUUAUUUUAUGUUCUUGAAUUUUUAAACUUCAUCAUCUUCAUAUUUCUUUCAAACGCUUGGCCCACUAGCUUUGCUGCUGCCAAUACGUAUCUUCUAGUCCAAGAACACUUGUGUACAGGCCUUUCUAGAAGAGCGUCCUCUCUCAACAAAUGACUGGUGUGCUUGCUCUGUUCUUUGUCUAGUCUCGGGUUCAUUUCUUAGUCCAUUUCUUAAUUUGUGUUUGGUAUGCAUGAAAGAUACUUUUUUAAAUAAUUUUAAUUGAAAAUAAAUCAAACAAUAUUUUUUAAUUUUAUUUUUAAUAUUAGUAAAUCAAAAUAAUUGAUAAAUAAUUAAAUAAUAUCACUGAGAUGCUUUUUUAGAACUAGAAAAAUCUUCUAAAUGAAUAAUAGAAAAGAAAAGAAAAGAGAAGAAAGCUAAGCUUUACAACUGGAAAAAACAUUAUCAGCACUGGAUAAAUAUGAAAUGUUUAAGUUAAGCUGAAAUUCUGAAAUGUUUAUUUCUAUCACCCUCCCGAGCACUCCUUACAUAAAUAGCAUGACGUCAUACCUUUACUAUGAGGUAAAGGUUCCAAUACCAAAAUACAAAACAAUCCCUAGAAAUCAUAAAAUCCUAAUUUCAUCCCCGGAAUAAUAGCGUAUGGCUAGAAAUCAUGGAACAUUGUCAACUGUGUUCAGCAAACUUUCAGGAUCUACUUCAAUUUUCUUAAGAGAAGGGGAAAUAGCGAUCGGGAUCCUCGUUAGCUGCGGGCAAUCACUCACAGUAAUUUCUUCGAGAGAAUCGCAUAGAAGUCUUCCAGAAUAAAUGCUUUUCAAAUUUGGUAAUUUCUUCAAUACCAAAACCCUCAAUUUAUCAAAUCUACGAAAAGGAGAGGAAUCUUCACCACUUCCCAUUAUCUCCUGCAUGUUGUAACAAUCUUCGACUACAAUCACUUCCAAUCGGCCCAACAAGCAUGAUUUUGAAGGUUCAUUAUGUAUCAACCGAGGAGGGAGCAGCACCUUCAUCCCAUGACAUUUAUGUAUCACCAUCUCUCUGAGAUUGAAAAAGACAGCAGAACAACCUAGCUCUGAAGGGUAGAAUCUCAAGCCCUGUCCCUGUACUUCAAAAAGGGUUUCUACAACUUCAGAUUUCUGAUGAAGCUUGAGGAACUGUAAUUUUGAGAGUUUGGGUAAAAUACCCGACCGUAAAACACGCACCCCGCUUCCAUCAAGAUUAAGAUACCUGAGAUCCUUCAGCCUUUCCAUUCCCUCGGGCAAAUCUUCAAGUCCAGUGUAACUGAGAUCCAACUUCUCCAAUGCCUUAAGCUUUGCUAAUGAUGGUACAUAACUCAGCUUUGCACACCAUCCCAGCAACAAUGCAGUGAGUCUCGUCAGAUGAGAAAUAGAAUCCGGCAACUUCUCUAUAUCUGUGUCGGAAAGAUCAAGAACCUUGAGUCCGAUGAGAUGCUGGAAAAAAGAAUCCUCCACCAAAUUCAAUUUGUAGUUUCUGCAUAACAAUAAUGUUGAGAGACGGGGGCACAUUGGUGAAAAGCCUGUUGGAAUAUUCUCGAUUCUAUUUUCCAUGAGUGAAACUCUUAACAGAUCCUCUCUCCACAAUCUUACACCGGGUAAUUCUGUUAGCUGUGCACCUGCUUGAACCAUAGCCCCCCCACUUUCGUUCAAUAUUUUCCAAGCCAUAUCCCAAAUCAAAUCAUGCAUCUUGACAUAUCUGUAAUCUUCAUCGUCCCUGGAACCUUCUAAUAAGCUGGCAUCUUCAAGUUGAUCAAGCAUGGUAUGGCCCCUAUCAAAUCGUGCAUGCCUACUCCCCAUUUCUUUGACUAUACCCUCGUCAAUCAAAUACUCUAUCAAGUCCUCUCUCCAGAUGAUCUUGCCUUUUGGAAAUAGUGUGAUAUGUAAGAAGCACUCUUGAAGUGCUGAAUCGUUCAACUGAGCAUAGCUAAAUUUCAAUACUCGAAAUACAUUGGCUUCCAUCUCACCUGGUCCAACUUCUAAUCUUCUCAGUUUUAGCAAUGCAUCUCUCCAACGAUAUUCACCAUCCACUCCCUUCAUGCUUCGAGCCAUUGUCAUGAUUCCAAGAGGCAAACCAGCACACUCCUUCACAAUAGACUCUGCGAUCUCAGGAUAAAGUGUACCACCACGCCCUAAUCUGUAUAUGAACAGAUCCCAAGCCUCACCCUCAGAAAGAGGCUCCACUUUGAUUAUCCUUUGGCAAUCCAUUUUUCGACAUAUCUCCAGUGAUCUCGUUGUGAGAAUCAACUUCCACCCGUCUGUUCUAAGAGGUAUUCCCACUUCAUCAGGAAGAAAAUGACCCCACAAAUUAUCAAGAAUUAAAAAACCUUUUUUUUUCACAUUCAACUCUGUCAACAGCUCCCCAGUUCUCACCAUCGCAUCAUUUUCAUCCAAAGGUUUUAAAUCCAAAACCUCAGCAAUGCGACCCUGCAAUGCAUGAAUGCUAAAAUCUUGUGACAUAGUAAUCCAACGAACAGGAUGAAACAUGCCUAGUUUCUCGUGAAGCUGAUUAUAGAUAUGUGUAGCCAAAGCUGUCUUUCCCACCCCCCCCAUCCCACAAAUGCCAAUGCAUGAGACCUCAUCAUUCAACAACCAACCAGACAUCAUUCAUGUUUCUUUCCAUAGCUUGGCCCACUAGCUUUGUUGUCGGCAAUACAUAUCUUCCAGUCCUACGUUUCUUAUGUACAGGCCUUUUAGAAGAGGGCCGUCUCUCAACAACAGACUGCAUCAAUUCCGGACUCAUGGUCAGUCUACCAGUUCUUAACUCAAAAUCCCUCAUUGAUGAGGAUGAGAUGUUAUUCAAGUUCAUUUCAAAUGACUGAUGUGCUUGCUCUGUUCUUUGUCUAGUCUCGGGUUCAUCUGGCAUAAGAACGACAGGAGCUCUAGGUUCCUCGACAAGCUCAGUCUCCCCCCCAAUCAGAAAACCCUUCCGUCCUCGUUCAUCCGAAAGAGGUUGUUCUUCUUGUUCCAUUUCUAAGCCCCGCAAAGCAGUUGAAGCUGCAUUAAUUCCCUCGUUAUUGCUUGAACUUGGCACACUCUUAUCUACAGGCAUUUUAGAACAGCUUCCUCUCUCAGUAACAGCCUGCAUCAAUUCCCGACUCUCUAUACCACUGCUUAACUCAACUUCCCUCGUCAAUGAAGAUGUGAUGUUAUUCAUAUCCGUUUCAAAUGCUUGAACUGCUGGCUCUAUUCCCAAUCCAGUCUCAGGUGCAUCGGGCAUAUGCAUGCUAGGAACCAUGGUCUCCUCAGGAAGCACAAUCUCUUCCCAAGUCAAGCUAUCCAUCCAUGAAAAAUCAUCCAAAAGAGAUUGUCCUUGUUGUUGCAUUUCUAAAUCUUGCGCAGGAUCUGAAUCUGCAGUAACUAUUAUAUUAUUGCUUGAACUUGGCAUGCUCCCACGCAUUCUGUCAGGAAGCUUAUCAAACGCUGCUCGUUGAACAUCUGGAGUUACUUUUUCACAAAUUUUAACACCACCCCUCCAACUCUUGCCAGAUGAUAUUUCAUCCUUGUAGUGGAAGUGCUUCCAGCCAAUGUCUUCACAAAAAAUGCACUUCAAUAAACCACCAUCCACUUUCUCAAAAUAACGAAAUGGAUCACUUCCUCCAGCCAUUUUUUCUUCUGUGUCCCUACAUACAGACAUAACAAAGAACUUUCAGAAUAUUGAAUUAAAAUGGAACUUAAACUAAUUGAAAAAAAGAAGAAGCUAAGUUUAAGAUAAAAAAAAAAUUGAUUACAGUGUUUCACUGUCUAAACCAAAGUCAAGUUAAACCACUCCAAAGAUCAUAGUGUUCUUUUUUACUUUCCCAAUAAUUCUACAACUGGUCAUAUCAGUAAUUUAAUAACCAGUAUGUUUCUUUUUGCUUAGAAGAAUCAAACUACAUGAGUUGGAAAAGAAAUGGUAUGAAAUUAGAGCUAAAAUUAAUCAAACUUAAUUACCUGAGCAGCAGAUGCAGCAAGAUGUUAUCCAAUUAUUUGAUUAAAUCAGAAGAAAGAAGAUGGACGGGGAAGAGUAAGUGUGUUGGAGACGCGUGAUAGAGCUUCGGCUUGUUUGGUUGUGGAUAAGGAUAGAUUCAGACAGUCAGAGAAGCAGAUGACAGUGAAAAAAAGUAAAAUGGACUUCUGUCGUUCAUGGAUGUCAUAUGGACAUGUUGUUGGUCUUCCAGGAAGCGGAUCCGGCGAGGGGUGCUCUAGUGAAGGCGUGGGGGUAGGCGGUGGCUGAUGAUAGUCUCCUCGUGUGGUGGACAGCACGCCAACUUUGCAAACGAUGAGAAAGAGCACGAUCCACCACAAAACAGCAGAAGAGAAAGCAGGAAGAAAAGGGAGCAGGGUCGACCGAGAGAGAAGUAGAGCUGACCCAGAGAGCGGUAUCUUCACAAAUGGAGAGGUUUGUGUUUUCUGUAGGUGGUAGAAAAAAGAGACAGAGGAUGAGAGACAACAGAGAGGGAGAGUACCUGUUUGUUUGCUGGUUUUUUUUAAAAAGAGUUAAUUUCCAGAAAUAACAAUGAAGUUACUGAUUGAAACAUUGGUCCACCACCCUCAGGUCAAUGAUGAAGAAUUGCAGGGUUCUUGGUUAUUUCUUCUGGUCUAGAAGUCUUUGCCGUGUAACAAUCUAUCACGGUAUGAAAGAUGCACGUAUUAUAGGGUAGAAAUCAAUGGCAAAGGGAAGAGAUGAAAGAAGAAGGACCUUCAAAAUCCUAAAAAAAAUAUUAUUAAUAUAUUUUUUUUCAUUUUAUUUGUUGUCCAUAUUUUAUUUUUUAAUAAUAUUAUUAAAUUAACCGAGUCAGUUGACAAAAAUAUUAAAUCACAUUGCUUUUAAAAUAUUUUAUAUUUCAGUCUUUUGUGGCAUUAACAAUGAAGUUACUGAUUGAAACAUUGGUCCACCACCCUCAGGUCAAUGACGAAGAAUCGUAGGGUUCUUGGUUAUUUCUUCUGGUCGAGAAGUCUGUGCCGGGUAACAAUCUAUCACGGUAUGAAAGUUGCACGUAUUAUUUAGCCUGUGAUUGCUUAUAUAAUGAUAACUGUGAAGAACUGAGUUCUUUAUUUCACUUUAUUCAUCGGUGUUUCGAAUAAAUAUUAUACAGGAACACAAAGGCCUUUUAUAGACCUUUGCAAAGACUCCUAACAGACUAGGAGAUAAGUCUCGUAAGUGAUAGACUUUGUGUACAACAGACUAACGUAGAGUUCUUAACAGAAUAGGAGAUAAAUGUUACGUAGAGUUCUUAACAGACUAGGAGAUAAAUAUAACAAUCUUCUACACUCCCCCUCAAGUUGGUGCAUAGAUGUUUUGCAUGCCCAACUUGUCUAACACUUGGUGAAAGACUUUACUUGACACAGCCUUAGUAAGAAUGUCUGCCAAUUGAUCUUGAGAUCGAACAUGAGGAACUUCAAUUACCUUGGCUUCCAAUUGUUCUUUAAUAAAAUGUCUGUCAAUCUCCACAUGCUUUGUUCGAUCAUGUUGAACAGGAUUGUGAGCGAUGUCACAUGCGGCCUUGUUAUCACAAUAUAACUUCAUAGGAGAUGUUGUUGAAAUCCUGAGUUCCUGUAGCAAAUUUUUAAUCCACAACAGCUCACAUACACCUUUAGCCAUGCCUCUAUACUCUGCUUCCGCACUAGAUCUAGCGACAACUCCCUGUUUCUUGCUUCGCCAUGUAACCAAGUUUCCACCAACAAACGUCAAGUAUCCUGCAGUUAAACGCCUAUCAUCAAUUGAGCCAGCCCAAUCUGCAUCAGUGUAGCCUUCAAUGUUUAAGGUCUCUCCCUUAGUGAACACGAUUCCUUUGCCUGGAGAGGAUUUCAAAUACUGUAGGAUACGCAUUACUGCCUUCAUAUGUUCUUCACUUGGAGAGUGCAUAAAUUGGCUAACAACACUGAGAGGGUAUGCCAAGUCAGGUCUAGUGUGGGAGAGAUACAUUAACCUUCCUACUAGCCUCUGAUAUUGUUCUUUAUUUACAGGAAUCUGAUUAGAAUAUGUACUCAACUUGACAUUUUCUGCAGCAGGUGUAUCACUUGGUUUGCAGGCUAACAUGCCAACUUCAUUAAGCAAAUCAACUAUGUAUUUUCGUUGUGACAAGAGUAUACCAGUGCUGGAUCUCAAGACCUCGAUUCCUAGGAAGUACUUUAAAGGUCCGAGGUCUUUCAUUUCAAAUUCACGGGAGAGAUAAGUUUGUAGGGCUUCCUUUUCAAUAGCAUCAUUUCCUGUUACAAUCAUGUCAUCAACAUAUAUAAUUAAUAGUGUGAGCUUUCCUUCAUUAUGCUUUAUGAAGAGAGUAUGAUCAGAACUACUCUGUUGAUAACCAAAUGCCUUCAUUGAGCUUGUAAAUCUGCCAAACCAAGCUCUUGGUGAUUGCUUUAAACCAUAUAAUGAUUUGCGCAAUUUACACACUUGUUUGCUCCCUUCAACCUGUAACUUACAUCCUGGAGGUAACUCCAUGUAUACUUCUUCUUGGAGAGUCCCGUGCAGGAACGCAUUCUUUACAUCAAAUUGAUGUAGUGGCCAAUCAAAAUUUACAGCUAAUGAUAAGAGAAUGCGUACAGUAUUUAUUUUGGCCACUGGUGCAAAAGUUUCUGCAUAAUGAAUUCCAUAUGUUUGGCUAUAUCCUUUAGCCACAAGCCGAGCUUUAAACCUCUCAAUCCAUCAGCUUUGUAUUUGACUGAGAGUCCAUCUGCAUCCCACAUGUUUUCUUCCACAGGUAAAUCAACCAUCUCCCAUGUUGUUUCUUUGGAGAGAUUUCAUCUCUUCGUUCAUUGCAUUUUUCCAACUAGGAUCUUUUAUAGCUUCCUGCACAUUAUUAGGAACCUGUACAAUAGAUAAUUGAUUUGCAAAUGAUUCACGUUCCUUUGACAACCUGUGGUAAGAUACAUAAUUGUUUAUUGGAUAUUUAGGGGCAGAAGUUCGGACAGGUUCAUAACUAACUCUAGGAAUUCCUCUUGUGGUACAAUUGGGAAGGAUACAGAGUGGAAGUUCAAGAUUUACCUGAGAUUCAUUUGGUGGUGACGACUCAUGAGGACUAGGAGCAUCAAGUGAAGAUAAUUAAAGUUGUGGUACAUUCAAUUCAACUAUAUUAGGAUGAUCACACAGUGCAAGCUCAUUUGUCGUUGGCUCAGUGGUUGUAUCUGUAUGUUCUGGUCCUACCAGUUCAGGUUGUUCAAGUUCAGUCAAAGUAUGACUUAUGUUCUCACUCUGAUAAGUAAAAGACUUCAAGUCACUACUCUCCCCUCCCUGAUUUGUUGUUGCAGGAAAGUACAUUUGGUGUUCAUGAAACUGUACAUCCAUGGUAACAUACACUUUGUGAGUUGGUGGAUGGAAGCACCUGUACCCUUUCUGAUGGAGACCAUAACCAAUAAAAACACAUCGGAGGGCACAUGGUUGAAGUUUAUGGCGAGCAUGUUUUGGUAUGUGUACAAAGGCAGUGCAACCAAACACUUUUGGGGGCAAGUUCAGUAUGAGUGAUGAGGGUAGGCUUUGAUUUAAUGUUUCAAGAGGUGUUUGGAAGUCUAAGCUGCGAGAUGGAAUACGGUUUAUCACAUAUGAAGCAGUGGCAAGUGAUUCUCCCCAAAAAUGAAGGGGCAUUUUGGCUUCAAUAAUUGUAGCUCGAACCAUUUCCAGAAGAUGUCUAUUUUUUCUUUCUGCAACCCCAUUUUGCUGAGGGGUAUAGGGGCAUGUAGUCUGGUGAAUUAUGCCCUGACCAUGUAAAAAUUUCCUCAUCUCAUGAUUGACAAACUCUCCACCAUUAUCAGUGCGAAGGACUUGAAUUGAAGUUUUAUAUUGAGUAGCAACCAUUGAAUAAAACUGUUUAAAGAGUGAGCAUACAUCCUGCUUUGUUUUCAUCAAACACACCCAGGUCAUGCGACUAUAAUCAUCAAUAAAAGACACAAACCAACGUGCUCCAUUCAGAGUUGGAACUUUUGCAGGACCCCAAACAUCAGAAUGUAUAAGUGUAAAUGGUGCAGAACUUUUAUUCAAACUUGGCAGAAAUGGAACACGGUGGCUCUUUGCCAAUUCACAGGUUUCACAUUUGAGUACUGGUAGAGAUGUGUUUGAAAAUAGCUCAGGAAGCAAAUGUUUUAAAUAUCCAAAUGAAAUAUGUCCAAAUCGCUUGUGCCACAACCAAAUAUUAGCAGUGGAUGUUGAACUGGUAACUGCUAAUGACUGAGCCAAUGCAUUUGAGCUAGAUGACGUGAGAUCAAGGUAAUAUAGCUUUCCUUUUUUAGUACCACAACCAAUCGUCCUCCUUGUCUUGAUGUCCUUGAAAACACAAUGAUCAGGCCAAAAAAUUACAACACAAUGCAAGGAAGUUGUAAUUUGAGAGACAGAUAUCAAAUUAAAAUUAAGGGAAGGAACUAUAAGAACAAUAUCUAAAUUGAGUUUACUUAAAGAAAAUGAACCUUUGCCAAUAACUGUGGCUUCUGUUCCAUUGGCUGUAGACACAACAUAUUUUUCAGAUGGUUUUAAUUUAGAAACAGGGGAGGUAGUGUCAAAGGACAUAUGAUCAGUUGAUCCAGAAUCAAUAAUCCAUGCACAAGAUCCAAUAGGUGCAGGUUUAUCAGAAGACUUACCUGGUGAGUUGGAGGAGGUGUGUAAUGCAGUAGCAUUGGCAUUCGGUAAAGAUACUUCAGCUAUGGCGGUGGAUACUGUUGAUGUAGUUGCAGUUUUGCCUUUAUGUUUUGGAGCCUUGGAAUGAUCCCACCAUUCAGGGUAUCCAAUCAAGUCAUAACAUCGACUUUUAGUGUGUCCGGUGUCUCCACAAUGAGUACAAUAUCUAGAUGAGCCAGACUGUUUAUUUCCAAUAUCAAAACUUCGAGAUGUCGCCACUGAACCAGGGUGAGUUUGUCGGAUAGGUGGUGUGUUUCGGCGAGCUAACAUGGCCAUAGAAUCAGGAGCAGUCAAGUCAUUUGUAAGAAGAAUUCGACGAUUUGCUUCACGACGAACAUAUGCAUAUGUGCGUUCAAGAUCAAGGCUUGGAUCCAUGCGAAGGAUUUCUCCCCGUACUUGUUCAAAUUCAGCAUCAAGACCAUUUAAGAAGAUAUGUAUCCUCAAUUUUUCAACUGAUGCUUUAUACAUAAUGAUAUCUUCAGGGUCCCUCAUCUUAACUUUAUCACGAUAAUCAAGUUCUUGAAAUAUCUCUACCAGCUCACCAUAAUAUGUAGGAAGAGAUCGACUUGAUUGACGAAUGGAGAAGGCACGUUGAUUGAGAUGAAAUAUUUGUGUUUCAUCUGAUCCGUCAUAGAAUGCUUUAGCAAGAGCACUCCAGAUUUCACGAGUAGUACGUAGGCGAAGGUACCUCUUCAUGAUCUCUGAUGACAUGGAUGUGAGUAACCAACCUUUAAUUUUUUGAUUUUCAGCAUACCACUUCGAAUAAGAGGGGUCUGUUGGUUCGGGUUGAGAUGAGUCACCAAUGAUAUAAUUGAGUUUCUCACGAUCAGCAAUAUGCAUCUCAAUUAUUUGGGACCAGGUGUCAUAAUUGGUUUCGGUGAGAAUUAUGCCAGCAUUGAAACCUGAAUUCUCAGAUUGGACAUGUAUAACAGGAGAGGAUGAUACGAGGGUUGAUUCGGUAGCCAUCGUAUUGAGGGAUAGCUUGAUUCAAUAAGUUUGCAGGGAUUUAGAAAACCUGCUCUGAUACCAUGAAGAACUGAGUUCUUUAUUUCACUUUAUUCAUCUGUGUUUCGAAUAUUUAUUAUACAGGAACACAAAGGCCUUUUAUAGACCUUUGCAAAGACUCCUAACAGACUAGGAGAUAAGUCUCGUAAGUGAUAGACUUUGUGUACAACAGACUAACGUAGAGUUCUUAACAGAAUAGGAGAGAAAUGUUACGUAGAGUUCUUAACAGACUAGGAGAUAAAUAUAACAAUCUUCUACAAACUGGAGGUUUAUAUAAUCGUUAAUUUUAAAACCGGUAAAAUUAAUCGAGGUGCACGUAAACUGACCGGACAUCUACAUUAAUAAUAAAAAAAAAACAUGCAAGUAUUAUAAGUCUCAGGUGGUAUAAUUCAAGUUGCCAUUUUGAUAUUAAAAUAACACAUUUCCAGGCCUUAUAUUUAAUAGUUUUAUGCUUAAAAAAAAAAGAGCUUGGCGUAUCACAUCCACCUAAUUAGUAUUAUCUAUAAAAAUCAAGGUUGUCAAUUUCGUUUCGGUAGGUGUUUCGUUUUUUCAAUUGGAAUGAAAUGUUUCAGUUUCGGAGUGUUUACUGUUCAUAUAUAUAUUCAACAAACAUAAUUUUAAUUCAAGAUAAAUUAAUUAUAAAUUAUGCAAUACAAACACAAUGCCAAAUAAAUAUAAUUUCAAAAUUUAAAAUAUUUCUAAAUAGUCAAGAUUAAAUAGAUCUUUAACUUAAAGUAAUUCAACUUAAACGAAAUAUCAAAAUAUUAUGAAAGUAAAAUCUUUUAACAAAAAUAUUUUAAAUAUAAAAUUAAGUCAUUCUUAUCAAGUGGUUAAUAGAAUCUAAAGCAUCCCUUGUUUUGCUCAAAUUCCUACAAAGUAUAAACAUGAAAAAAAACAUGAAUAUAAACCAUAAAUAUUAGUGAUAAAUCUAAUUUUAAAAAAUUAAUAUCAUUGUUAAUGAAAAUAGUAAUAAUAAUUUUCAAUAUUAUUAUUAAUAUCAUUGCUAUUGAAAAUAGUAAUGAAAAAAAGCUUUUUAUAAUCGGAUGGUUUAAUUAAUGAAAUUGAGCAAGGUUCAAUUUGAUUCAAUGGCUUUUCAAGAGUGAAACGGAACAUGUGGAAUGAAACCGGAACGUUUCGGGUGGAAUUUAACCGAAAAAUCCGGAAUGGACCGAGAUUUAAAAUGAGAUGAAAUUUGUUCCGUUUUUUGAAUUGGUAUGAAAUAUUUUAGUCAUUCCAGAUGAAACGAAAUGAAAUUGACAACCUUGAUAAAAAUAUAAUCUGAUCCCAUCCCAUGUCACAUACUCAUUAAAAGCUUGACACGUGUAAGAUACACUCUGAUGCAACCUGUGGUACAACGACAAAGAUAUUUUAUAUUGAUUGAGAGGUUAAGGAGGCAGUCAAUAUUUUAUAUUUCAGUCUUUUGUGGCAUUAAUAAUAAUGAUAGAAACAUUGGUUUGCUUCCUCUUGGGUGUAGGACAAGCACUACGUGGCGUUUGGGCUGCCUAUACUUUAAUAUUUUUAGUAUAAUUAAUAGUGUUGAUCUCAAAAUUAUUAUUAUUAUUUUUAGUAUAAUUAAUAGUAUUAAUCUCUAAAAUAUUAUUACAUUUGGUGUUGUAAAUAAUAUGAUUUUUAUAAUAACUCAAAUUAAUGGCAAAGGGAAGAGAUGAAAGAAGAAGGAUGAAUGCAAACCUAUCCAUCAAAAUCCUUCUAUCCUCCCUGCAAUUCCUUCCAAAUUAUGUGCUACAAUGAUUUUCUUCGCGAUUGAAGUAAGUUAGACUGGAUUGCCUAAAUAUGAUGAAUAAAGGGUUGGAUUUGCAAAAUUAUUUACACAGUUUAAUUUGUUGAUUUGAUACAUCUCAAUCUGUGAAUUAAUAGAAAAGAAGAAGAAGAAGAAGCUAGUACUAAACCAAUAAGUUUACACAUAAUCCAUGAACGUAUCUCAUAGGUCACAACAUUUUCCUUCAUUAUUGGUCACUAAUAUGUUACUAUUGAAAAGAGUAACUUAACAAUGGUCUAUAGGGUCUUUUCUAGGUGUUUUAGGGUGGUUUGUAUGGGUUUUUGGUGGCCAUGAAUUAACUUAACAAGGUCUUUAGGGUCUUUUCUAGGUGUUUUGGGUAAAAAAUAGAUUGAAAAUUAGUUUUUAAAUAAAAAAAAAAACAAAAGACCAUAUUUUUUCAGUCACCAUAAUGGCUGAAUUCUAGGUUGUGUAGAGGAUGCGUCAUUUUUCCAGCCCCUUACGUACAAUUUUUUUUAAAAAUAAAGUCUUGCGCGCUAACCAUUGCUUUAUUGGGUAAGACGUUGGCCUUCGCUUGCUAGGCCUAACAAUACCUGGCCUGAUUUCUUUUUUAUUAUUUUUUUAAUUUUUAAUUUUUCUUUUUAAAUAAAUCAUUAUUUGUGUGUAUUUUAUAAAAUAAAUUUUGGGUUUAUAUUUUAAUUAUAUUGUGAUUAUUUUUAAAUGACAUUUGGUGUGUUUAAUUUUUAAAGAGAUAGAUAUGAUUCAUGUUAUUAUUUAAAUUAUCCGAGUGAAUUGAACUCAUUAGAGCCAAUUCCCUAUAUAUUAUAUAUUUUUUAAGUAUUUAUUUUUUUUCAAUAUUUUUAUGCUAAAACAAAUAAACCUUAGCGUUAUAGCGUAUCGCAGCUAGUAUUACCUGUAAACAUAUCAUCUUAUCCCAUCCCAUGUCAAAUACUCAUUAAAAUAAUUUGUUGUCAAUUAUUUUAUAUUUCAUUCUUCUGUCGCACGUGUGCGGCGGCGCGACGAUCGUCCACCCUCAAGGGAAAAAUCGGAAUAUUUAUUCCUGGAAAAAAGGGAGAGACAAGGAAUUCUUGUCUCUAUAUGUGAAAAUAUAGACUGGGAGUCGCCACCUAGUUUUCUGGUUACUAGGAACCUUAACUAGUCUUUAGAGAUCGGGUACGGAGACUGGUUGCGUAAAGGGAAGGUAUUAGCACCCCAACUACGCCCUACCUAAGGUAUGCUGCAUUGUUUUAAUGUCUGAUAAAAUUUAAAAUCGUGUUGUGGUUUUUGAAUUGUUGGUUCGUUUACGGUUUAAGAAAAGUCCUCCUCCGUAAGGAGAUCCUUAUCUUUAUCGGGUAAAAAAUUAACUAUUCGAAGUCGUCAAAAAAAAAUAUUUUUUUAAUAUCAGGAAUACGAUUUACGUAUAAAUUCAUAAUCCUUGAUACUAAAAUCAAACAAAAUAAAAUAUUUUGUUGUUUUUGAGAUUUUGGCCAAUGUUCUCUUGACUUUAAUAAACUGGUUAUUAAAGCCAAAAUGCAUGCUAAAAUAUUGUUUUUUGACAUAUGAAAAAUACGAUAUGAUUUUUUAGAUUUGAGAUACUUGGCCGUAUGCACAAAAACAUUUUUUAUUUUUUUAUUUUUGUAUUUUUUGGAAUUUUAAUAUCGGAUUUAUAUUUUUUACGAUGUAAAAAUACUGCCCGAUAUUAAUCAAAAUGACAUAAAAAAUUACGCGGAAAAAUUAUAAAAUGCUGAAAUAAUUAUUUUUGAAUUUUUUCUUUCUGAAUGUGAACAGUGCCUUUAUUGGGUAAGACAUUGGCCUUCACUUGCUAGGCCUAACAACACUUGGCCUGAUUUUUUUUUAAUUUUUAGUUUUUCUUUUUAAAUAAAUCAUUAUUUGUGUGUAUUUUAUCAAUUAAAUUUUGAGUUUAUGUUUUAAUUAUAUUGUAAUUAUUUUUAAAUGAUAUUUGAUGUAUUUAAUUUUUAAAAAGAUAGAUAUGAUUUAUAUUAUUAUUUAAAUUAACCGAGUCAAUUGAACUCAUUAGAGCCAAUUAUCUAUAUAUUAUAUUUUUUUGAAGUAUUUAUUUUUUUCAAUAUUUUUAUGCUAAAACAAAUAACCCUUAGCAUUGUAGCGAAUUGCAGCUAGUAUUACCUGUAAACGUAUCAUCUGAUCCCAUCCCAUGUCACAUACUCAUUUAUAGCUUGACACGUGUAUGAUAUACUCUAUGGUGCAACUUGUGGUACAACAACAAAGAUAUUUUAUACCGAUUGAGAGGUUAAGGAGCCGGUCAAUAUUUUAUAUUUCAGUGUUUUGUGGCAUUAAUAAUAAUGAUAGAAACAUUGGUCCACACUGUUAGUUUCUUUCAUGGCAAAGACUUUUCCCUCGGGUCGAUGAUGAAGAAUAUUUGUAGUGUUCUUGGUUAUUCCUUAUUGUCGAGAAGCUUGUGCCUUGUAGCAAUCUAUCACGGGGGUGCUUGUCAAGAAAGAUGUCCAUAUUAAAGGGUAGAAGUGGUAAAUAAAAGAGAUGACAGAAGGAGGAUGAGAGCACAUGAUCUCUCUAGGAAUUCUAUGUACAAUUAAUGCUCGAUAAUCAACUUCUUUUCGCGGUUAAAAGAUUAAAGAAUUAAUUUUUAUUAUUAAUAAUUUGUUACUCUUUCAAUAGAGAAUGGCUUUAGAUUAAAUUUUUAUUUAUUUAUACUUUAUUGAAAUUAUAUUAAAGAAAACAAAUUUCCAGCGCAAAGCAUAACAACACACCUUUUCAUUUAUUUUUUCUUAUUUUGUUUCUUUAAUUUAGUUUUAAUUAUAUCUUUUUUUUUAAAUCUGUUAGUUUAACUAUUUUUAAAUAGUAAUUAAUCUUUUGGAUGGGUUUUUAAAUUUCAUAAUAUCUCAAAGGGAUUAUUGUAAUUUAUUUUAAUUUUUUUAUUAAUUUUUUUUAUAGCUAGAUAAGUUAUAUUUGCAUUAUAUGUUUUUAAUGAUGAAAAUAAAAUGUACUUAAUAACCAUAAUAAACCUUCAAGAUACAUAAAAAAAAAAACUCAUCUGUAAAAAAUGAAAUGCCAAGUCUAUGUGUACUGUCAAGUCCAAAUCUAUUGAUGCCAGACCCAUAUAUUUAUAAUAAAUAAAUAAAUAAAAUAACACAUCAGUUAUAUUGAUUUCCUUCGCAAUUGAAGUAGGUUAGGCUGGACUGCCUAAAUAUGAUGAAUAAAGGGCUGGAUUUGCAAAAUUAUUUACACAUUUUAAUUUGUUUGUUGAUUUGAUACUUCUCAAUCUGUGAAUUUACACUGCAUUAGUAGUUAAGAACUUAGAAGGUGAACUGACAGAAAAGAAGAAGAAGAAGAAGAAGAAGCAUUAGUACAAUUUCCUAUAUUCGAUGGUCCUCGAACCUAAUAUGUUAUUACUGAAAAGAGUAAAUUUCUGAACCUAACUCACAACAAUUUCCUUCAUUAUUGCUCACUAAUAUGUUAUUACUGAAAAGAGUAAAUUUCUGAUCACUCUAUUUCUGAGAUGGCUGCCAACUCUUGGUGAAGACGUCUCGCUGGCAUCCGGCCUGCGCUGGUUCUCUUAGGGACAGAGGAGCUAAAAGGAUCAGGAGGCUUUGUUAAGUUUUCUCCUUCCCCUUCAAGCAUCUGGACAACAGUUUUCAUGGAAGGACGCUCUGCUGGGUUCCACUGAAUGCACCAUAGCCCCACAAUUGCUAGUUUCUUCGCAAUUCUAGCAUCUUCUUCUCCAUCGAUAUGAAACCGCAGGUCUUCUUCCUUUUCUAAGAGAUUAUAAAUCCAUUCCGGGAAGUAUAUCUGGUCGCCAUUUUCUGCUGUAUCAUCGACGUUCUUCCUUCCUCCAACCAUUUCCAACACUAACAUCCCAAAGCUGUAAACAUCUGAUUUAUAGGAAACAUUCCCGAAGUUCCUCGAGAACACUUCCGGGGCAAUGUAGCCAACAGUCCCCCUAGCAGUCGUCAUGGAAAUAGCACUUUUAUCCUUGGAACACAACUUAGCCAUCCCAAAAUCGGCGAUUUUGGGAUUGAAUUCGUUGUCAAGCAGGAUAUUCUGUGGUUUGAUAUCAAAAUGGAGGAUUCUUUGAUCGCACCCCUGGUGAAGAUAUUCAAUCCCCUUGGCU
Molecule: long non-coding RNA, 45042 nt
Filed under: Populus tremula
Lineage: Eukaryota; Viridiplantae; Streptophyta; Magnoliopsida; Malpighiales; Salicaceae
Description: long non-coding RNA (PTRE_LNC002991)
Source: RNAcentral